GCCUUUUUACUCAAUCUCCUAAUAUAACACUAGUACAUAUUAUGCAAAGGAAUCCAACAGAACAAAAGCAUCCUGCGAAAUACACAUAAUCAAACAGUUAAAAAAGUAAGGAAAAGGAAAAGAUACCUUAACUUCCAGAUGCCAUGCCAUCGGAAAUGGAGGUUGAUGAAAUACUUCCCCUUGAAGUUUGAACAAAUCGCUGGGCUGUAAGCAUCUUGUUGCAACCAAAGUCUUUGUCCUGCUCCACAUCACUAAAAUACACAUCCCCAACAGCAAUACCUCACCCUUAAUACCUUUUUCUUCUCACAAUCCCUAUAUCCUAAUCUACAAUAUUCCUCAGUUCCUUUAAAUUUAACUAACGCAAAAUUCAAAACAACAAAAAUAAAAUAACAACUGAAACUCAAGCUAAUUUUGAAACAAUGCAAAAAAAUAAAAAAUAAAAAAAUAAAAAUAAAAGGCUAAAAAGUUGUAGAAAUUUGAAACUCAAACAAAGCAACUAAAAGCAAAAUAACAUUAUAUAUACAUUUUACACACAUUUUAUACCAAAAAGAAAAAGGAAGCUCCUGAGCAUACCAAGCCUCGUCGGAGGAAUCACCAAAACCGUUGGAUUGGUCCAUCAUAAACAACUCCUCGUAAGAUACUGCAAAAUCAUGGCCAUUGACUCCUCCAAAAACUUCACGAUAGUCAAAACCGGAGCUUCGUACAUCGAAGAAAACCUCGGCUACUUCAUUGCAGGCCAAUGGGAGAUCGAGGACAGGAAUGGAGGAGGCUCGUGACUCGUGGAAACCGCCAAAUAUCUCGCUGUAAUCCUCGACCCGAGGCGACAGAGUCGGGGCUCCGAACUUAGGCGGGCCACCAAACACGUCGUCGUAAGUGAACUUAUUAGUGCUGCCAUUGCAGCUUCUCUUGGAGACUAUGUUUGGUUGGCGAGAAUGUGAUAGAUUUUCCAUGCAGAUGAAGGAAAACGGAGACACAGAGCUCUAGGAACGGACGGAGAUACAGGCACACAGCUCUUCUUUGUUACUUUGCUCUGUUCUGUGUGCUUUUCUCUCUCCUCUUUCUCUGCACAGUCUGAAACAGAGUCGGAAAAAUGAAAAGGGAAAGGAAAAUAACAAAAGCCAAAAGAACAAAAAGGCCAGUUUGAAAUGACAAAAUAGGACUUGAAAUUAUUGUGUGGGAAACUCCUUUUCCAAAUUCUAGAAACUUCAAAAUCAAGCAAACUCCUCUUCCAAAAGUUCAUUUAAUAAUUUUGUUUUUUUUAAAGUAAAAUGAAGUGUAUUUGUGAAUAAUUAAAUCACCUUAGAUGAAUGUUAUAACUUUAUUAAUUCUGAAGAGGCCUUAAGGUAAUUUAAGAACUUUUAAUUUUUUAAUUUUUUUCUCAGUAAUUUUAAUGAUAAUUGCAUGUCACAAUAAAAGUGGACAUGACCGAAAAAAUGUUGAAAUCGUAAAAAAUAAUCUCUAUUGAUUUUAUGAAUUAACAAAAAUAUUAUUAAAAAUUUUAAUUUUAUCAAUUAAAAAUGGAGCUAAGUCUUGAGAAGACAUGAAUCUUGGAAACCACCUGUCUUAUACCCAUUAAACCUUUUUUGUCAUAAUACUCUUCAAAGUAAUUUAAUUUUUAUUGGUCAUAUUAAUUCUAUUUAAAUCUAAAUUUUAUAUAGUAUAUAAGAUUUAUAUUAAAUUUGGUAAGAAUAUAAUAUUUUAAUUUUAUUAGUUGAAAAAAAAUUGUUUAAUUUUGAUUAGUUAAAUUAAUUUUCUAUCUAAAUCUAUAUUUUAUUGGAUAAACUAAAAAAUAUAUAUUUUAUACUAAAUAAGUUAUAUAUUAAAUAUGAUAAAAAUAUAAUAUCUUUUAAGAAUUUUAAUUAUUGAAAAAUGAAUAUAAUUUAAUUUUUUAUUGGCUAUAGUAAGAUAUAUAAUAAAUAUGGUAAGAAUAUAAUAUAUUCGAUUUUUUUUUUUUUGAACUGGUCAAGUAUUAUUUUUAAUGUAUCUUUAAUUUGAUUGGUUAUAAUUAUUUUCCUAUAAAUAAUUUAAACUACAAAGAAUAAAUGUAAGUUAUUAUCAUUUAUCAAUAAAUAUCUUAUAUAGUAUUUAUUGUUUGAUAUAAAAUGAAAAUAAAACUCACCACAAAUAUAUAUAAAAUAUAAAGUUAUGAUACAACAUGUUAUAUUAGCAAACCAUUAAUCUUGAAAGAUUUUUUUUGUAAAAAAAGUAACUAUAAAAUUAAUUAUAUAUGCUCAUGGAAUUUAGUAAAAAGUGUAAAAAAAAAAAAAAGUAUCAAAAUUAUAAAUGAUAAUAGUUAUCUAUCUAUGAUAUGUAUUAUUCUAUAACAUAACUUCAGAACAUAAUAAGUCAACUUAAGCUAAUCCUCAUUUUGAGAAAAUUUUCUCACGUGGUAUCUCAAUUUAUUUUAUUUAUUUAUUUAAUAUAUUUUUAUUUUUAGUGUUUAUUUACUUUAUUAUUUUACACUUUUAAAUAACUUAUUUUGGGAAUUAAUUCUUUUUUAGUUAAUUUGUGUUGCUAUUUCCUUAAUUCGUCUGAACCCCAAUAGACAAUAACAAGAAAUAGAUUUCUCGAUGUACAUAUUGCAUUAAUAACGGACCUGUUCUUCAUAAUGGAAAAAUCAUUGGUAUAAAAUUAUAUUUUUUCUUGUUUUUAAUUAAUACAAUAAUAAAAAUUUAUUAUUUUAAUUGAUAAAAUAUAGAAGCUAUUCUUGUUUUCUCAUAUUUUAGUAAUAUGGAUAGUUUAUGUUAUUAUAUUAUACAUGAAAAAAAUUAAGUUAAUUAAAUUUAAAUUAUUAUAAGAAAACUUAAAUUGCUUAAUGAAUAAUUUUAUUUUCAGAAAUUUAGUUGUCCAAUUAUAAUAAUUUUUAUAAAUAUAUUAUUUUAUUAAUAAGUUAUUUAGUUAUUGAAUUUUUUAUAGUAUUAUUUUGUGACUACUAUUAGAUUUUUAGUAAUAUAAAUUGUUCAUGAUAUUAUAAUUUAUAUUAAAUUAAUAGAAAAUUAUAUAAUAUAUAUAUAUAAAUUAAAUUACAUUUACUUGAAACGGUAAAAUCAACAAGUACAAAUAACGUGCAAAUACAAGUUCAAGAAACCUACUAUAUUUAAAUAGAUAAAUAUAAUUUUGAUAUGUGUAUAAUACAUUUUUUGAAAUAAUAAUUUUUACAUUUUAACUAUCCUUUAAAUGACCGAUUUUAUUUUAUAAAUUGAGGUGUUUAAUAAGACAAAUAAAGUAUUAACAUGUUUAGUUUUUAUAAAUUAAACUGUUCAAUUGUCAAAACAAGAGUUUAUAGUGUCACAAAGUUUUUUAUAAAAAAAGUAUGGGGUGAAUUUAUGUAUUCACUCAACUUAAAUACAUAUUUAAAUUCAUACAUGGGAAAAACUCAACCUCCCGAAUAAUUGAACUAAUUCUAAAUUUUCAAAAUAUCUUUCAUUAUUAUAAAUUUUCAUAAAAGAUGUAGGGAGUGAGAGAUGUUGAGUUCGAGUCCUCUCUACCACAAAAAUCAUCACCAAUUUGGUGAAUGUCAUUCAAAGGAGAGGGCUACCCCUACUGCAUAGUCCACAAUAUUAUUCUGGUUUAUUGAGUCUCACAUGUAUCUAAAAAGAAUGACCAGAACUUUAUUCCAAAUAUACCUAUUUGAUUUAAGCCAAGUGAAAAGGUCUUAAAUUCGAGUCAUCUCCAUUCCAAAAUUUUAUCACCAAUUUGAUUAAUAUUAUUGAAAGUAGAGGAUUAUUCCUGCAGUAUAAUCCACAACAUACUUCCAAUCCUUUAAACAUGUUAUAAAUCCAAAAAUAUACAUACAGGUUGAGUUAAGUGGUUUAAUCAUGUUAUAAAGGAUCGCGUAACUCUUUGUAUUAGCAAUUUCUUUGAAAAAAUUGUGGGAUGGUUCCACUCCUAUAUCUGUUUCCUUAAAGAAUUUCUCCUCUUCUCUCCAAGGGUGGCAUCGGUCCAUGUUUGGCAAUAUUUUUGCCAAUAAAAAACAAUUGUGGAAUAAACUUGCUGGUAUUCAGAGGUGUCUCGCCUUUAGAGUGACCCCCUAGACUUUUGAGAUUGGAAAGUAAGUUACAAAUUGAGUUGAACUCCGUUCUUCUUCAAAAAGAGUUGUUCUAGUUCUAGAAAUGCAAGGAAGAUUAAUUGGUUUUGGGUGACCGUAAUAUAAAUCAUGCUUCUAUUUUGGCUCGCAAGAAAAGGGUAGCCAUGCCUCUUUAGUUUUUGAAUCUGGUUUGACAUUGACAAUGAAGUGUAAAUUAAAUUAAUUAAUACGAGUUUCUUUCAUAAUCUUUAUCCCUUGGAUUCAUUGUUGUGACUUGUCCGAUGUGCAGCAUGGGCUUUUUUUUGUCUUAGCGCAUGAACCUGUUACUAAGUUUGAUGGGGCCUUUUCUGGGGAGAAGGUUGUUAGAAGAAUAAAUUGUACAAGGAAAGGAUUGACCUCCUUAAUGAUAGGAUCAAUCUUUGUACAGUAAAAGGAAAGGAUUGACCACCUUAAUGGAAGGAUCAAUCAUUUCCUAAAUUAGACGAUACAGGAUCCCUAGAGUUAUAUUAAAUUGUCUAAUAAGAUAAGAGUUGUAUAUAGAAAAAAAUUAAAAUGAGAAUUGAAACCUCUUCUUCAAACCUAAAACUCUAAAUUUAAGAUGGUAUCAGAGCAGUAUCGAUCCUAGGGUUCGAUUACUUGUUCAUCAUUUACCAACAACUUACCUGUCCAGCGACAUGAGUGAUGAAGCCAACAACAGUGUUAAUUCGGCACUGACUGAAGCCACAGAAGCCUUGUCAACACAGAUUGCCUAGUUGUUAAAACAACAUCCCACAAUUCAAUCAAACAGUAACCAAAUAGCCUCAAUCAAUAUUAAACUAAAUGAUCACAACUACUCCUUGUGGCCAAGACUGAUGCGAUUGGCCAUCGGUGCAAGGGGACGAUUGGACCAUAUCACGGGAAAUUCCCCACCUCCAGCCACAGAAGACCCAGUGUUUGCCAACAAAAAGAUCUCCAAGUUUUUUCAUGGAUCAUCCAAGCCAUUGAACCGGACUUAGUUAGCCAUACGUCGAAUAUCCGAAGGCCAAAGACCUGUGGGAUGGUCUGGCGGCUCUGUACCGGAGUGGGGAAGAUGCGUUGCAAAUCUUCAACCUAAUGAUAAAAGCAAAUAGACAGCAACAGGGGCAACUAAUACUGGAAAAAUAUUACAGUAUUUUUUAAGCAAUUUGGCGAGAAAUAGACAAAAGAUAACCCAAUUCAAUUAUAAGCACAACAAAUAUUUCUACAUUUAACAUAUUAAAGCAAGAAAGUUGACUGUACCAAUUUCUCGCCGGAAUGGAUGAUCGAUUUAAUUCGGUCAAGCGUGAUUUACUGAAAGAAAUUCCCUUACCAUCCGUUGAAGCAGUGUAUGCUACUGUCCAAAGGGAGGCCGCCCGGAUGAACAUACUCAGUCCAUCAGCAGCCAUGGAUAAUGGUGCAACUCUAGGCAUUGGUAGCAGGUUAGCCACAAGAGGACAGGGGGAGAGGUCCAGGUUGAUGGUGAAGAAAAACAUCCAGGUGCAUAGUGAAUCGCAGAACGAUCAGACUUGGCAAACGGAGCAGCAAGUUCAUUAUUUCAAGGGAAAAUUGAUCGAAGCGGCCUCAAGUGUUCUCAUUGCAACCUAACCGGAACAUCAAGGAUGAAUGCUUUCAUCUCAUUGGUUUUCUUGAAUGGUGGAAGGACAACCCGAAAAGGAGAAAUCGCGACCGGGGGAAAAGGUGGCCGAGCCGCCGCCGUGAUGAGCAACCAGGAGGUCGUCAGCAUUAACAGCAGCGGCGAAGGUGGAGGAUUUGCUGCCAUUGGAAUAGGAAGAGGGGCGGCCGAAGCAAAUGGGAGAGGAGAAAGAGAUGGGACAAGUAUAGGGUUUGGGAAGGGAAAAUUACCUCCAAAUCCUUCAAUUCUUAAUCUUAUUUAUUUUGCACCUAAUUGUUUUGAUCUACUUGACUUAAGUACUGAAAGUUCUGAUUAUAUGCAAUCAAGUCCUGAUUCCUUUAAAACAAUUCAGAUUGACCCCAGAUGUUUUGAGAAAAAAUAGAAAAAACCUAAAAAAAAUAGAAAUCAUUCUCGGGGUAUGAGAAAAAAUUUAGGUAGGUCAAAAAUAAAUAAAUACCCCUCAGCCUAUAUAGCCCAAGAACCGAAGCGUGGAAAAAAUACUCAAUGGUUAUUUGACUGUGUGGAAACUGAUACCAUGACCUAUGAUCCCUCUGAUAUUAUUAUCCUAUCAGCUCCAGAAAAAUUUAAAAUUCAGACUGCCAGUGGAAAUUUUGUACCUGUUAAAGGGGCAGGUUCCAUAGAGUUAUCCCCAACCCUGAAAUUGUCCAAAUGUCACUAUGUCCCAUCAUUGUCUUGUAAAUUGCUAUCCGUUAGUCAAGUGACAAAAGAAUUGAAUUGCACGCUUCUAAUGCAUCCGAAUUUUUGCCUUUUACAGGACAUCCAGACACAGGAGAUCAUUGGGCAUGGCAUUGAAUACGAUGGUUUGUACUAUAUCGGUAAAGUGGCUCAAAAAGGGUCCGCACUACUAGCUCAUGGAUGACUGGUCGACAGAGUUGGUUGUGGCACCGACGAUUAGGACACCCAUCACAUGGUUACCUCAAAAUCCUUUUUCCUUAGUUUCAUAAUAAUACUCCUCAUGAUACUUGUGUUUUGGCAAAAAGCCAUAGGAAACCUUUUUUUUUUUUUUUUUUAGUAACACUAGGGUUGCACAUGCAUUUGAUUUAGUACACUCUGAUGUAUGGGGUCCUGCUCCGAACUCUGGAAAUAAUGUUUUUAAGUAUUUUGUGUUAUUUAUUGAUGAUUGUGCUCAUAUGAUGUGGGUAGAUUUUUUAAAACACAAAUAUGAGGUUCCACAGAAAUUUAAGCAUUUUUACAAUCUCAUUCGUACCUAAUUUCAAAAACAAAUUAGAAUACUCAGAUCUGAUAAUGGGGGAGGGGGGGAAUUUAUCAAUCUUGCCAUGCAAACCUUCUUUCAGGAAAAUAGGUUAGUACACCAAACCACUUGUCCAAACACCCCACAACAGAAUGGUGUAGCCGAACGAAAAAACAGAAUCCUUCUUCAAAUCACCCGAGCCUUAAUGCUUGAAUCUCAAGUUCCUCAAUCUUUUUAGCCUGAAGUUGUAGCCACUGCAGUGUACCUUCUUAACCGUUUACCCACUAAGAUACUUAACCUAAAAACCCCUCUACAAUCUCUCCCUGAACACACCCAAGUGCCCCCAGCCUUAGCACUAUCACCUCGAAUUUUUGGAUGCUCAAUCUUUGUUCAUAUUCCAAAGACUGAACGUUCAAAAUUUGAUCCCUACGCAGUCAAAUGUAUCUUUGUGGGAUAUGGGAUUAACCAAAAAGGCUACCGCUGCUAUAACCCUAAAACCCGUCGUAUGUACACCACAAUGGACUGCGACUUUCUUGAAUAUUUUUACCACAUCCAACACAGUGGUCUGGGGGAGAGUAAAAUAAAAAUUGACCCACUGAGUUGGUUACUCAGUCCAACUUUGUCUAUCGGUGAAUCCAACAAAAAAGCUAAUGGAUUCAUUGAGUGUGGAUCCGCUGAGCCUACUUCAGAUAAUAUAGAAACUAUCGAAUUCAUUUACACACCUAGGACUCCACAGUUGGAUGUCCAGGAGGUAAGUACCCAAGUUUAUAAUGAUGUUACUUCUACUUCACAUUACUCUGAACAUGUACAUGCAGCUCCUGAGAUAGAAGUAGUUGAAACUACAGGGAGAUAUAUUAUUCCUUAUAGAAGCACCCGGGGUAUACCUCUGAAGAGAUACUCUCCAGAACAUGAACCUAGAACGUCCAGAUAUCUAGUGGCUAACCUUGCCAGGGGGAGUUUGUCCGAAGUAGCCAAAGUGUUCACAACAAUACUAUCCACUGAAGCUAUUCCUAGAACAGUACAGGAGGCUCAACAAAAGAAGGAAUGGAGACAGGCUAUGAAGUUAAAAUGGAGGCUCUUGAAAAAAAUGGAACCUGGCAAAAGUGCAAACUACCUAUUGGAAAGAAGACAGUUGGGUGCAGAUGGGUUUUUACAGUGAAGCAAAAGGCAGACAGAACCAUAAAAAGAUAUAAAGCUUGACUUGUGGCAAAGGGAUACACUCAGAUAUAUGGAGUGGAUUACUCAGAAACAUUUAGUCUAGUAGCAAAAAUUGAUACGAUCAGGAUAUUGUUCUCAGUGGUGGCAAAUUUAGAUUGGCCACUUCAUCAAUUUGAUGUGAAAAAUGCCUAUCUUCAUGGUGACCUCAAGGAAGAAGUAUAUAUGGAAGCACCAUCAGGGUUUACCAAGGGAUUUCAACAGGGCGAAGUAUGACGACUGAAGAAGGCAUUAUACGGGCUAAAACAAUCACCUAGAGCAUGGUUUGGAAGAUUUACUGUUAUGAUGAAUCGCUACGGGUAUCGAUAGAGCAACUCGGAUCACACUUUGUUUCUAAAGAGAAGAGGAGAGCCGAUUACAUGCCUAAUUAUCUACGUCGAUGACAUGAUCAUUACAGGUAAUGAUACAGAAGAAAUUGCACAUCUCCGGGGAAACUUGUUUAAAGAAUUUGAAAAUGAAAGAUUUGGGGGGACUGAAGUAUUUUUUGGGAAUCGAGGUACGAAGAUCAAAUCAGGGGAUUUUCAUAUCUCAGAGAAAGUAUAUCAUUGAUCUAGUAACUAAGAUUGGAUUGAUUGACUGUAAGCCAGCUAAGACCCCUAUAGUGGUGAAUCAUGGUCUAAAAAUAGAAGAGGAAGCAGACAUAACAGAUCGUGAGAGUUACUAAAGACUAGUAGGGAAGCUCAUCUAUCUCUCACACACUAGACCUAACAUGUCAGAGUAGUGAGCCAGUUCAUGCACAAGCCACAAGUGAAACAUAUGGAUGCUGCCUUGAGAAUUGUACGAUACUUGAAAGGGUCACCAGGGAAAGGAAUCAUGUUCAGGAAAAAUGUACACUUGGAGAUACUUGGGUAUACGGAUGUUGAUUGGGCUGGGAAUCCAGUAGAUAAGAGAUCGACAUUAGGAUAGUUUUCUUUUAUUGGUGGGAACCUUGUAACUUGAAAAAGCAAGAAGCAGAAAGUUGUAGCCCUAUCUAGUGCAGAAGUAGAAUUCAGAGGAGUAGCUCGGGGAUUAGCAGAGCUAUUAUGGAUUAAGAAGUUACUAACUGAGAUUGGGUUUCCACCUCAGAGUACAUGUCAGCUUAGGUGUGAUAACCAAGCUGCAAUUAGCAUCUCAGAAAAUCCAGUGCAACAUGUACUCUGAUUUUAAUUUUAUAUUUGAUUGCAAUGUUCGUAAGAAAUUUAAUAUUCUUCAAUCAUGAAAUUGAUUUUAUAUAUUUGUUUGCAACGUUUUCUAUUACUUUUGUAAGGGAUUUAGUAUUAUUCAAUAGGUUACAUUAAAUAGGGUGGAGAUGAAGUUUAAACUCGGACGUAAGAAUCGUUGACUUGACAAUUCGAUCAAGACUUGGCUUGUUAAGUUAUAUUAUGAUUGCACUUGAGUAAAAAAAAAAUGUCAUCGACUUUUAGACACGAAAUUUCUUAUUUUGAUAGUAAAAUUAGACAGAAGUAAGAAACUACACAUCUGAACGCAAGGGAGCUAUGUGUUAGAUGAUGGAGGCGAUUGCCCUCUUCUAUUAAAAAAAAAUAUUUUUCCCUUCACAGCAAAAAAGGUUCAGACCCUAACCAAAUAAGUUUUUUAACACACUCUCAAUUAUUUUGUCCCCUUGCAUCUUUAUAUAUUAUUUCUUUAACAAACUUCUAUAUUAGUUUACACCCUUUAUUUUUAAAUCCUACCUUCGCCCCAAUUUGAACGCUGGAAUUUAUGAAACUCGGUCAUUAUAUAUAUAUAUUAAGGUUCAAUUUGCUCCUUAAACUUGGACACAACAUAUAAUUUGCCCAAAAAAUUAAUUUUUUAUACAAUAUUCCCCUUGAACUUGUACCAAAAGAAUAAAAUGCCCAAUUUUUUAAGAAAAACUUUUUUUUAGUUUUACCUAAUAAAAAUUACUUAAAAUUUUAAAAUUAGAAAAUAAAAUUAUUUAAAAAUAUAGUCAUAAUUAUAAAAAUUUAGAGUAUUUGAUUUAAAAAUAAUUAUAAUGCUUUUUGUCCUCACAUUUAUAUAUGAGUAUUAUUAACAUAUAAAAUUCAGAAAAUAACAAAAAGAAAAAUGUUAUUAGAUAUAUACCUAUAUGGGAUGAAAUAAUUCUAGUAAAAAGGACAAAAUCAUUGAGAACUAGCAAGGGAUCUACCUGAUUAUAUCAACAUUAAAGGCAAAAUGUUAUUUUUUGCCUAUAUUAUGAUUUUUUGGACUUGAAGUCUAUUAAAAAUUGUAUAUGAUUAUGUGAGAUUUUUCCAGCUGGAAGAUCCUAAUCAUUCAAUCACUACUCAAUUCAAUGGCAUCACCUACUAUACAUGUUUUGUUAAUUAAUCAUCAUAUGACCUUAUAGUAGUAAUAAUGAUAAUAAUUACAAUAAUAAUAAUAAUUUCUCAAAAAUAAUUAUAAUAGUAACAAAUAAUUAAUAAUGUAUUAAUAAAAAAAAACACAGUUGAUAUUAGAGAUGACUAUUUGAUUGAUUCAGUUUAUAAAUUAAAUCGAGUGUAAAUAAUUAUUUAAUCAUUUAAAUUCGUUCAAAUUUGUAAUUUUUCUUUCUUAUUUGGCAAUUACAUUUAUUAGUCUACAAGAUUUUGUCUGUCAAAUAUUUAGUCUUUUUAUCUAAAAAGUAUCGUUGUAAAGGUAAUACAUCAUAUUUAAUAUUUAACUAUUUCGUUUUUCAUUUUUUAAUAUAACAUUACUAUUUGAUCAUCCACUUAAUAAUAAAAAAAAAAGAAGUAAAUUUUAUACGGACUAAAUAGUUUAACGAAACUUCACGAAUUAAUUAGUGUAUUUAACAAAUAACAAGGGUGAAGUUGUAAAUGUGAUUUAUUUACUGAAUAUAAUAUCCAAUAUAAAUAAAUAGGAUAGAUUAUCAUUAUUAUUUAUAUUAUUUUCAAAUAAGGUAUAUAAAUUACUUAGUGAAUCAAUACAUAUCGUGAUUUCUAAUUUAUUUUAAAUAAUUUUUUCAAAUUUUAAAUUAAAUCAAAUGCUACUUUAUUUAUAAUUUUCUACUUAAAAAUAAAUAUAUCAAAUUUAUAAAUAAAAGCAAAUACUACCUAAAUCAUCUUUUUUUUUUUUUGAUAUAUGGGAGGCCCAACAGAUCUAAAUAAUAUUCUGAGCACUCGAACUCAAGACCUCUCACUUUCUGCAUCUACUACGAGAGGUAAAAAGACCGAUUAGACCACACCUGAUUAACAUGGUUUUUUUUUUUUUUUUUUUUUUUUUUGAAAAAGACAAUAUAAAAAAAAUAGUUGGAGAAGAGGUCCAUUCACAUACCAAAUCCAAUAAUUACAUAAAGCUAAGGUUAGAAGAGAGAUUAGUUGUUGACAUUCAAUUUUUCAAAAAAAAAAAAAAAAAGGAAGGGUAGAGAGUCCAUGACUACAACGUGGCUAGCAUGCAUGCAUUAGGAAGGUUUUGAAUAUUUGAUGGUGACAUUAAGAUUAUGCCAUUAAAGUAGCUGUCCUCGACCCCCUAUUGGGACAUUUUCUUCAUUUCAUAUAUGCUCAUGGUUUCUAACAAGGGAAAAUUAUAACUUUAUCCAUACAAUUUUUUAAAAAUAUCUGCGUGGUUUGGUUCAAAUCGAUCUAUUUUUUAAAAAUUUAACUUCUCGAAAAAUAGAGUUUUAGGAAAGUUACUUUUUAGGAAAUAGAGUGCGAUUGUGUUUGGUCGAUAUAUCGAAUUCCCAGAAAGUAAAACUGAGUUAAUAAAAUGUGAGAUUAUAAAUGAUAAAAAUACCCCUCAUAUAUAAUAAUUGAAAUAUUUCAUUGAAAAAAAUUUAAUAACCUAAAAUAUUUCAUUCAAAAAAAUUUAAUAAAACACGUUUUAUACGAUCCAUUAGCUUGUAAUCAAUAUAACUUUUUAAUUACAUAUUGUACAAGAUAUUAUUAUAAUUUUAUUUAUUUGGUUAAUGUUCUAAUUACAAACAAAAUAAGAAUAAUAAUUCUCUAAAAAAGUUUAAUAAGGAAAGAGCAUGUGUUUCAUUUACCUCCAACCAAACGAGGCCAUCAUUUUGAUUCUGUAUUUUGAAAAAUAGACUAUUUUAUCUCUAUAUUUUUCUUUCCUUAUAUACUACUUUGGGUCUGUUCGGUAAAAUUAACUGUUUUGGUAGCUGUUAGUUGUUUUAAUAGCAUCUAACUAUUAGCUGUUUGAGUAAUUUUUUUAUAAAAUGCUAAAAGUUAAACGUUAUAUGAAUUAACUUUUCACAAAAUACUACAUUAACCUCUAAAAGUUAGUUUAAAUGUUAUGUUAUCGAACACUAUAAAAAGUAGCUGGUCAAAACGCUAAAAGCUAUUUAAAAAGCUGUUGUCGAACACAAUCUUUAUCAUUUUCUCUAGUUAAGAGAUAUAAUAUUCCAUUAAAUGCUUUGUGAAAAGACAUAAAUACUCUUAAAUUCUGCUCUAUCCAUUUUACUCAUCAACACAUAUCCCUUCUUCUUCUCUUCCUUAUUUUUCUUCUUUUGGAUCAAUUCCUUCAACUCAAAUCAAUCAAUAAAAAAACCCAUGAGAUUUGGACUUGCAAUUUUUUUCAAUUACCUCCUUUUUUCUAAGAAAUCAAAUCAAAAACUCUACUUGAAACCAAAAAACCAAAUAUAAUAGUUACAUUAUCAAUCUUAGCAGUAAAGUAAUUGUUAGAGGUGGGUUUACGAUCACCAUCAUCAUCAUCCUCACCUUCUUUCUUUACUUUAAUUGGCAUGGGGUUGUUGCAGCAAUUAGGACCAUUUUAUUUAGAGAAAAUAGUAAAUGGAAUGUGUUUUGAGAGAGAUUUGCAAAAUUAGAUCAAUUAAAUAUUUAUUAUAUAAUUCAAAAUAUGAAAAUUAUUAUUUCAAAAGUUAUACUAACUUCUUAUCGAAUUAAUACUUUGCAUAUAAGAGCUAAAUACUAAAAAUUAUUGCUAUUAGUAUGAAAAAACAUGUAAUAUUAUCAAAACUUGCAAGUUUAAGACCAUGUUUAGUAUGAUGUAAUCAAUCAUGUAAUGGAAUGAGAAUUACAUUAUAUGAUUGAUUAUAUUGUUUGGUUUGACUAUUUUUUAAUACCGAAAUAUAAUUGAGAUUACAUAUGCGAUCUUUAUUACUUGAAUUGAUGUAAUAUUCAUUACAUAAAAAAAAAAAAACACAUGUAAUAUCAAUUACAUCAAGUCGCCAAUUAAAACUCUACACCACCACCAUUUAUACUUAUAAACUAUUUGGACUAGAAAAUUAAAAAAAUAAACAGAAAAAUGUAAUGUAACAAACUAAAAGUUAAAGUCAUUAUUAAUAUUUUCAUAUAUUUUCUUUGAAUUAAUUAUAAUACAAUAUAAAAUUAAGGGCAUUUUACUACUUUUGGUAUUUUUAUUCUAUUUUUUCCAUUUCCAUAAUAAAAUAAAAAAAUAAAAUAAACUUUUUAUUCUAUAUUACAUAUUGAACACUAAAAUAUGUUUUUAUUAUGUGGUAGUGAUGGAGUGAUGGUUGUGGGGUGGUAGUUAUGCUGUGGUGGUAGUUAUGCGAUGGUAGCCAAGUGGUCGUUGAGGUGGUCUAGAGUGGUGGUAGAGUAGUUGUUGCAAUUGGUGUGAUGGUGGCGGUGGUGGCAAAGUGUGGUCGUUGCUGCCUCAAAUGUUAGUUUUGUGCUGAUUUAGUUUACCGUCAUGUGGCCCACAACCGCCCAUCAUGUAUGUGAUGUGAUGUGAUGACCUGACCUGACCUGACCUUGGCGAAAGCCAAAGCCAAAGCCAAAAUUAACACAUGCGUGGCCCUUCCUAAAAUAAGAACAACAAUCUGAGACUAUAUAUUUUGUACCCUAUGAAUACAAUUCAUCAUCAAGUAUAUUGUUCCAAUGCCUAAUUGUGUUUCUAAUAAUAAAUGCAAUUGGGAAAGGACGAAGGUGUGAUUGGGGAAUUUUUAUCCUCCUAUCAUUUUCUUUUAAAUAGUAGUAUAUUGUGCUACAAUUUAAAAGAUCUUUGUUAGUUGAAACAACAAGAUAUUAUCAUUCAUGAUAGCAACUAAAAUAUAAAAUCUUUUUUUUUUUUUUUUUGAAAAGGAACUAAAAAUCUUAAAAUACAAUCAUAUUAACAAAGCAUUUGUUUUAAUUAAUAAAUACAAUCACAUUUAUCUUUUAGAUUAAGCCUAAGUUUUUUAUUAAAUUAUUUCAGCAUAAAAUCUAAUUCAUCUUGCAAUUCAAUUUGCUCUAAUGCAAAGUGGUGGAGGCGUAUAAGUGUAUUAGAAAAAUUGCCCGUUGUCCGCUCUAUUAUCAUCCUUAGCUAGACGUGGCUACGGUUCCGAAACCGUCGGUUUCGGUUCUAAAAUUUUUUGAAACUAAAACCGAACAAAAAAUUAACGGUUCCGGUUACGGUUUAGAACCGAAUGGUUCCGGUUUCUUAACGGUUCCAAAAUCGACAGUUUUGGUCGGUUCCAAUCGGUUUUGGAGGGUUUCGAUUAGAACUGAAACAGUCGAUUCCGACUGAUUUUUGGGAACCUCCAGUUUACAAUUCCAAAACUGGUGGAACUAGAACCGAACUAAUAUGGACCGGUUUUGAUUCCCACCGGUUCGAAACCGACGUUUCUGGUUCCGAAAAUCGGAUUUUGGCCACCCUUAUCCCUAGCUAAUUGAGGUGUAAUUAUUAUUUUAAAUAGUCAUACUAUUAGAAAACUGAAUAAACAAAUGUAUUAUUCAUCAUGUUGAUAUUCGUUAAAAAAUGUAUUACUCACUAAACAAAACUGAAUAAACAAAGUACUAUCAAAUUUGAUGAAAAUCAAUAUAAGGAAUAUAAUCUAAAUAUAUAUUCAAAAUAAUAAAAGGAAAUUACAUUAAUUUUUAAGUCAGUAUAUAAGAUUAAUUUAAUAUUGUAUGUUCUUUAAAAAAAUUAAUAUUUUAUGAAGAAAAUUUUUUUAAAUCAUCAGUAUCCGAACUCUUUUAUCAAAGACCGUCUAAUCAAUUUAAUCAUAAUUAAGACUGUUAGCUCCUUCUUACAAUCAAAAAGAAAUCUUUAAUAAGAUAUGAAUAAGAUGUCUCAUUUGUUUGGAAGAUUCUCCGAGACAAAACAAUAAAAAGGAUAGAUUCUUGGAAUUAGAAUUUAGUACAGUUUCUUUUGAUUACUUUGCCAUGUCUCCAAUUUAGCCCUCAAUUAGCCUAAAUAUCAAUUUUAAAGUAUUAAUGUCUCUCACUUUUUUUUUUUAAAUUAUUAUUGGAACUCUUAGUUUAGUUCCCACUUUUAGAAAGUAAAAAUAUAAAAUCAAGCCCAAUUUUUAAAUUAAUUCUCAAAUUAAAUAAUUACAACAAUUUGAUAUCAUUAAACUAUCAGCAAUUUUGAAUAUUAAGAGAUGAAGAUUCUAACUUGAAUUUAUAUUUUAAAUUAUAUACAUUUAUCAUUAGAUAAUAAGGGUAACAUGUAUAAGAUAAAAAUAUUUUGAAUUUAAUAUUUGUGUAAUUUUACUACAAGGUAGUCUAAUUAUUUGAAUUCUUGCAACAUUAAACUUAAAAUGAUGUAAAUUUAUAAUACUUAAAAUUGUACUACAAAAAAAUUUUUAUAAAAAUUUUUUAAAAUUGAAAAGGCAAUAUCUUCACUUAUUCCCUUGUCUGUUUUUUCAUAAUUAUUUUAUUUAAAAUAAUAUUCAGGCAAAAGUUUUUACUACAAAAUAUUCAGUGUUUACUGAAGGAAUAGUAUAAAUAUGAGGUUACAUGAUAUAUAAAUUGCCAUGGUUAUAUAUACGUGUAUGAUUGAUAAGCCUUGUUAUGUAUUUCAAUCUUAUUAUAUUUUAUGAACUAUAUUAAAAAAUAUAUAUAAAAAAAAACCUAGAUAUAUAGAAAUAUGGACAAGACAAAAAUUAUUUCACGUAUCAAAAGAUCUGACUGAAUAGAUUGAGUUUAAAAUAAUAAAAAUUACCUUAUUUAUCCUUUUUUUUCAUAUAUUUCUUCUUUGAACCAAGGAAUUCGGUUGAUUUUUGAAAUUAGUAACUGUAAAUAUGUGGUCGAAAAACUCAGACUUCUAGCUAAACAAGAAGGAACCCUAGCUAUCAUAUCUCACCUCUAGCUAGUAUAUAAUCUAUCAAUAUUCUAAUUACUUUAAAUAGUAAAAAAGAAAGAUACAUUCUUCAAUGGAAAGCAUUUUUAAUUGGUAAGAGUUCAAUUGCAAUAACUUUUAGCAUUAGGGUUCAAUUUAAAUUAAAAAUUAAGAUAUUUUUCAAUUUACGUUUAAAAGAGGGCUAGAAGUUAGAAGUCAUCUGGGGAUAUUAGUGUAAUUUGGAAUUCAUUACUUAGGUUUGAAGUCAUCUGGGGACAACUUAAUGGUAUAUAUAUAGAACUUUUUUUCAUUCAAUUAAUAAAGGUAAAGCUAUUAUUUAUAUGUUUUUUCCGAAAAAUGAUUAUGAUGUUUCAUUUAGGUAUUUGAUUCAUUAAUUUUUUUCCAUUUAGCUAAUUAUCAUGAUUAUUAGCUGGAUAUAGAACAGCUUUUUUCCCUCCUUUUUUUCGUUUUUUCUUUUUUCUUUAACCAUUUGAUCCUUGUAAUAUUAUAAUUUAAUCAAAUCAUUUUAUUAAAAUCAAAUAUUUAAAUAAAAAGGAUAUCCAUAAUCAGCAUCAAAUAAAAUUCUACGAAAAUAUUAUUAUUAUUAUUAUAAGUCAUGUUAUACAACUGCUUAUACAUAAUCAUAGCCGUAAAACCGAUUUCAAACCAAGAAAAAUGAAAUUAGAAUUGGUAGAAAUUGAUCAACCGCACUGAAAUUAGAGAUUUUAGCUAAAAUUUGAAAUAGAAAUCAAAGUUUAUAGAAGAAGAUUUUAAGCUUUUUAGCGUUUUGAUAAAGUUAAAACUCUAUUUAUAUAACAUUCGGAAACAUACUUUAACGUUUAGCGUUUAAAUUUUAAUUAAAUUUUUUGACAAUCAUAUUCAUUAUUUUUUUUUUUCCGAAUUGAGCUAAUUAAACAAUUGAUGUCAUUUUUAUUAUUUUACAUUUAAAAUUUAAACAGCUAAUACUGCUGAUACCCUAAAUUUAAAACCAGCAGUCUGAAGAGCCGUGAUGGCUAGCUACACAAGAAUAUGAACUGAGAAGAUUCAAAUGGCCUCCCCCUCUAAAAGUAAAGAAAAGAAGAGAUUCAAAGGGCAGUGGCCCCGAUCUUCUGGUGGCUAGUUCAACUUUUUAAGGAAUGGUCCAUUUGCCUUCCGGUGACCAAUCAAAAUGCAAAUAUUGGGUGGUGUAUGGAUAAGUGCCAGUAAAUCUGUUCAAAAGCAACAAAGAUAAUUGAAAUCUAAGGUGGACCCCUUUUUUUUCAUGAGAUGAUACCAAUUACCAAUACCAAUGCACUUCUUUUUCUGUGAUGGGGCCCUUUUUGUUUCCCUCUUUUUCUCACUGUCAUUCACCAAUGCUUGCUGCUCACUAAGAUCAUCAUUCUGCCGUUUUAUUUUUUAUUAUCAAAAUAUUUAUCUCUCUUCUUAGAAUAUUGCUAGUUCAUUAGCUUUCUUUUUCAAGUACGUGUAUGUUUAUAUAUUAUAUCAAUCACAAAUAUUCCACUAAUUCACUCGAAUAAAAUUAAAUCUUGCUAAUCCAUUUAUAAAAAAUUAAAUCGCUCUCAAUGUGUAUUUAUUUUAUUUAUGAGAAUCAAAUUUUUAAUCUCAUUUAUAAAAAAUGAAUGCCAAAAUAAGAGGUAAACAUUUAGUAAAUUUAAAUAAUAUUUUAAUCGAAAUAAAUUAAUCAAAAAUUUUUUUUUUACUUAAUUGAAUUUAACCGAACUAAUUUUUUAAUUGAACUUAAUCGAAUCAUUUUGGUCAAAUUAAUUUUAAUCAUUAACCUAAUAAAAGUGAAAGAAAAUGAAAACUUAAUUAACCAACUGAAUUUAAUCAAAAUUUAUAAUUAACUGAUUUUAACCGAAAUUAUUAAUCACUAAUUAAUUAAAAUAAAAAUUGAAAUAUUUGUAAUUUAUAAUUUUAUUAUUUAAUCAAAACGACGUAAUUUUGAGAGUCGAUUAAUUUAAUUAAUUCAAUUAAAUUAAUUUUUAACCGAUUACCGUAAAUUUUAUUUUUUUUAACCGAACUUUUAUUUUCUUUAACUGAACUUUUAUUAACUGAAUCAAAUUGGCAGAAUUAAUUGAAUUGAUCAAAUUGACCGAACUAAACAUUGACCCGUACGCGGAAUCAUUCAUUUGAAAACUCAUUGGUUGUAUAUUUAUUAUUAUUCUUUUGUUGUAUUGGAAUGUUUGAACAGGUAUUAGUUGGAGUCAUUAUCUUUGGAUUUGUUGAUUUUGAAAUUUUAGACUUUAUUGAUAUCUCAAAUGAAAUUAAUAUUCAACAUUAAACGAUUAAAAUAAAUUAAUAAAUAGUUGUUGUAUUUUGGUUGUUGGCUUGGCAUGCUUAGUGGAGGGCACACUCUUGGAAAUUUAAGCCUAUUUAAUUAUAUAAUUCGUUAAUGCUUGAACUCAAGACUAGGAUUUGAAAAUACUUUAAAAAGAAUUUAAAAAUAUAUUAUAUACAUGUGUCGCUAAUGCUAUGUUUGGGAAGAGAGAGGAAGUAAAAUAAAGGUGUAGAAUUUUACUAUUUUUUCCUCUCAAAAUGGAAUGAAAAUAAAGUAAAAAUGAUGUAAAAUAAAUUUAUUUUCCGUCCCCCUUAAUAUUUUCACUCAAACCAAAUAAGAGAUUUUGUGAAUUUUAAAGCAUUUUCACCUCUAUUUUACAUAUUUUCUAUAUUUUAUCUCCGUCUAAAUUGUAACUACCUCAAUUGCGAAGGCUUACGUAAGCUUAGGAAAAUAUAUUUUUUAUUUGGAUAAUUAUAUAAAUAUAUCAAAUUUUAUACUAAUUUUAAUAAUGUCGCGUAACUUUAAUUUAUUAUUUUUUAAUUAUUAAAUUUAAAUUUUUGUUUUGGUAAAAUAUCACCCAUCAAAAUCUGGUGACUGAAAAGAUUAAAUGAUAUUAAAAAUGAAAUAUUCAUAUUUCAGUCCCCAUAGAAAUAAAAACUUCCGUCCCCUUGUUAAUCUUACCCGCUAGAUAAUAACCUUCGAUUAAUGAGUUGUAAGUAUAAGCACUUGGUUUUUAUACCACUCUGAACCAUCAGUUCAAACAAUCCAUUUGCCUCUUUUAUCUUUUCCUCCUGACAAAGUGCAUUAACCAGCACGUUAAGUGUAACCACAAUAGGUUGCACACUUCAAUCCACCAUCUCGUUGAAUAAGCACUUAGUGUCUUCCCACUCACCAAAAGAACAUUGACCUUGUAACAGUGAGGCAUACACAAACACACUCGGACAGAUCCCCAUAUCCUUCAUUUGCACAAAAAGCUCUUUCGCCUUUUCUAUCAAUCCAUCCUUACAAAGACCAUCAAUAAUAAAGGCGUAAGAAAAUACAUCAGGCUUACAAUCCAUACCAGAUUCACCAGUCCCAUUAACCAACUUUCCAAACAACUUAAAGAGCAACAACUGUAUUGCCUGUUCGACACAACCCAUUAAUCAAUAUAUAUUAAAUGUAAAGAUAUCAGGCCUACAACUAAACAUGUUCAUUCCCAUUAUGCUCGAGCUUGGCUCGAUAACCGUAAAUAAGCCAAUCUCGAGCUGAAGCUUAAAAUUUAUCAAAUUAAAACAAUAUUAUUUUAAUAUAAAUUUGAAUUUAAUUGAUUUUAAUUUAUUGAGUUAGCUCGUAAACUCAAUUUGGAUUGAUCUGACUCGUGAGCUAAUGAGUUGAACUCGAGCUCCGAUUAUUUAUUAAAUGAGCUCAAUAAACUUAUUGAACUAAAUUGAGAGUGCUUUUUAUCGAAUUUUGAAUAGCUCACGAACGGCUUGUCUCAUUUACAGCUGCAACUAUAUAUAUAUAUAUAAACCAAUCAUCCCGAACGAAUCUAAUAAAUUGAACUGAAUAUUCAACUGACUACUUGAAAGCCAAUUGUAUAUCUGAAACAGUCAUCCUGAUCACAUCCAAUAAACUGAACUAAAUGAGCUUCCCGCUGUGAGCUAAUUUUAAAGUCCGCUGAAAUUGCAGCAUUAUAAUAUUUCUGUUAAAAAAAUACAUUUUUCUUUCUUAAAAUUAUUUAUCACAAUCAACUUAUGAUAUCAGAGGAAAAAAAAUUGACUUACAAUUCUUUUUAAAUCUUUAUUCGGUUUUGAUAAGGAAUAAAGAAUGAGAAUUCAGUAAACUAACAUAUAAACAUUAUUUAUUCAACUAAUUCCUAUUAAUUUUCUUUUUUACUUAUAGAUCCAAUCAUAUAGAUCAAAUUUAUCAUUCAAUCAAUUCUUGUACUUUACAAUUUUUUUGACGUUGCUUGAAGAAAACAAUUAAUCCCAGUUUGGGGUAAAUGUCAAACAAAAGUUAAGAAUAAAUCCCACCUUGGAAGCUUUCACUGCAGUUAUACAAUCGAAAUUUACAAAAUGCUUGUGGUUGCAGCUCCUAGAGUGUUUUUCCAAUGUUAGUUGACACCGUUUUAUCAUAUGAUAUCAGCUUUCCGUUGGCUUUUAUACAGGAAAUUGUGGAAGUAAUUUAAAAUAUUUGUCGUAGUUAUCAUCCUUCGAGAGCCACUCUAUUACUGUUUCGAAUAUACCUGCACUUGGUGACACAUUUCUUGCUACCAUUUUAUGAAGAAGGUCAGUAACUUUUGCAUUCUCAUUAUUCUGGCAUAAACCUCGCAUCAAGGAAUUAAAUGUGACCGCAUUUGGAAUACAACCUUUCUUCUCCAUCUCCAAAAAUAGAUCAUAUGCCUUCUCCAAUUGCCCUUCUUUGCAGAGUCCAUGGAUCAUGAUACUAUAGGUCACAACGUCCGGAAUGCAGCCUUUCUCCUCCAUUUCCAAAUAUAAAUCAUUUGCCAUCUCCGGUUGGCCUUCUUUAUAAAGUCCAUGGAUCAUGACAUUAUAGGUCACAACCGUCGGCUUUAAACCUCCAUUAAACAAUUUAUAGAAAAGGUCCCAAGCAAUGUCAAGCUUUCCUGUUUUACACAAGCCAUCAAUAAGGCAGUUGAUUAUUUCAACACUUAACUCAAACUUGCAGGUUUCUAAACUAUGAAACACAUCCAUUGCCUCAGAAACACAACCAUUUUCACAAAGGCCACGAAGAUAAAUUAAAUAAGUAGUGGAAUCCGGUGAAAUAUCAUGAUUUUCUGGAUGUUGCAUCUCGCCAAAUAGCUUCCGUGCAUCCUCAACCUUACCUGCUUGGAAAAGACCAUUAAACAAGAUGUUGUAUGUAAUGACAGUUGGUCGAAUCCCUUUGCCCUUCAUAUCCCGGUACAAUUUCAUAGCUUCAUGUACCUUCCAAUUCUUGCAAUAACCAUUGAUCAAUGUGUUGUAGCUUACAACAUCAUGUUGAAUCCCCUUAGUCGCCAUAGAAGAAAAAAGUUCUGUCGCCUUAUCAAUCAUACCCACCAAACAAUAGCCCUCAAUCAAUGAGUUGUAACUACAGGCAUUUGGUUUUACACCACUCUGAACCAUCAGUUCAAAUAAUCCAUAUGCCACUUCUAUCUUUCCCUCUUGACAAAGUGCAUUAAUCAACAUGCUAAAUGUAACCACAUUAGGUUGCACACCCGAAUCCACCAUCUCAAUAACUAAGCAUUUAGCAUCUUCCCACUCACCCAAAGAUAAUAGACCUUGUAAAAGCGAGCUAUAGACAACCACAUCUGGAAAAAUCCCCAUAUCUUUCAUUUGUACAAAAAGUUCUUUCGCCUUUUCUAUUAAACCAUCCUUACAAAGACGAUCAAUAAUACAAGAAUAAGAAAUUUUAUCAGGUUUACAAUUCAUGCCUGAUUCACCAUUCCCAUUAACCAUUUUUUCAAGCAACUUAAGCGCAACACCUGUAUGCCCUGUUCGACACAACCCAUUAAUCAAAGUACCAAAAGUAAAUGCAUUAGGCCUGCAACCAAACAUGCCCAUUUUCUUGAAAAGUCUAACUGCCUCACUAAUUUUAUCCUUCAUACACAAUCCCCUGAUCAAAGAAGUAAAAGUCACAAUAUUUGGCCUAUAACCCCUUCUCAUUAUUACCCCCAUGACCACAAAACCAUCAGAAACCCUUUUCACAUUGCAACAGGAAUUAAGCAAGAUAUUCAAUGCAAUGAAGUCUGACAACAACCCAACUGAAUUCAUUCUUUUGCAAAGCAAAAUAACAUCAGAAUAGUGCUUAUUUUUAGCCAGAGCACCUAACAAAAGAUUGAAUGAUGAAUUUACAGGAGUGGGUUGCAUCUGAAUCAUGCAAUUGAAGAAGUGAAUUGCUUCAUGUAGAGUGAUAUUAGCUGACUUACAAUUUAUGUUCAAAAAUUUCUCGAGUGGGGUUUUGCUUUGAGGGUUGGGGAUUGAGCUUCUUGGUUCAUAUUUGGAAUUGCAAGUGACUUCAUUUGAGUUUCUGGGUUUUGAACUGGUGUCUGUAUGUUGAUUAGCGAACAAGGAAGAAAGUUUACCACUUGAAGUAAUUGUUGAAGAAAGCGAUGAUGCACCAGCAAUACAACAUAGAGACGAUUGUGGGGUUUUGGAGACCAUACUAAGCCGAGUUGAAGGGGAUUCUUAACUUCAAUUUGCAAAAAUUGCACGCAAAGAUGGUGCUAAAGCAAGAUUUGAAGGCAUCAGCUUCUAUCUCAUUUCUGGUUAGUAAGACUGUGGGAGGGAUAGGAAGUGGGGAUGCACAAAAUAUGGUUGUCGCGGCUAGGAGAUGAAAGACUGGAACGAUGCUAUAAUUGAAGCUUCCCUGAUAGUAAGACUAAAUUUUCCACAUCCAUUCUCAUACUCUACUGGAGAUAGGCAUCAUACUAUUCCUGCCAAUAAAAGCUCUAAGAAAUUAGGUUCUAUAUGCAUUUCAAAUACGAUGUCUAUUCAUUAGUUAAAUUAACAUCAAUUCACUACUUUAACUGAAUUCAAAAUUACUAUAUAAAGUUAUAAACACAUUCAAGUUCAUUAAAUAAUUUUCUACUUCCUACCUUACAAAUUGCCAAUAAGAUAUUUUAACUAAACAAUAUAAGAUAUUCAAAGUUAACCAUUAUUAAAUCUUGACAAAGAAAGCGAUACAUCACUUCAAUGGUCAUCAGUAAGAAGUUAGCAGCAUUAAAAAUGACAGAAACAAUUAUUUUGUACCUUGUCACUCAUUAGUAAGAUGAUUAAUUACUGCCAUAUAUAUUAUGUAUAUAUAACCUUAAAAAAUCAUGAUCCUGUCCAGUCAAGAUUCGGCUUAAACAUAUGAAAUUAACAUUCAAAUCCAGAAACUUUAAUUUUAUUCUAGAUUUAUUACAAUUAACCUUAGCUAACUUAGCACAAUUAAUUCAUACUCCUCAUAAUAAAUAAGAUCUAAAUCAAGCAUGCUGAAAAUUCCUUUACAUUAAACCAGUACACAUGAAUCUCCACCAAAGAAGCCAAGAAGACAGAACUUCCUAACCCAAUUUGCAAAAUAUGACUACUGGAAAUGGAGAGAAGAUGUUAAAAUUUUGUGGCCAUUUAAUCACACAUGCUUCCCUUAGUAUUGGUAAAUGGGUGCUACAUUCUGUAGUCAGAUGGAGUCAACGAUGCGGGGCUUGGAAUUUGGAAUGAAAAGGAGAUUGCGAUGGCAGCAGCCAUGCACAGGUGCAACAUCGGAGAUGGAGAAAUCAACAGCCAUAAACUCUUGUUCAAUUUACAAUGUCUCAAAUUUUCUGAUGAUAUUGAAGAUAAAAGAUGACUUAGUGACUGAUUUGAGGCAUCAAAGAAGUUUGCUCAAACUAAUGUUGGCGGUAUGGCUGAAAGUUAGAGGAGGCAAGUUUGGAUUGACUCUCUCUAGCUCUUUCCCCCUUCUCUCCAUUCCCAUCUUUGUCUCCUUCCUUUCUUUCCUAUUCCACUCUCUUUCUUUACACCAGUAAUUACAGUAUAUAAUCUAUAAUUGAUUAAUAAUAUUGUUUUUAAAGUGAAUUCAAAACUACUGCACAUGAAUGCAAAAGCACAUCAAUUCUAUCAAAUCGAACAGAAAAACACGAGAAAUCUCCCGAAAAAAACAGAUUAGGAUUUGAGAAGGUAAGAGCACAGACGAUAUAAUUUACUUACAGUAAUCGAUUAGGAACGCUGAGCUGCUAACAACUGCUUGCAGUGCGACGGUGCCAAGAUUAUAGUCGCGGUGACGGUGACCAGUGACCGUGGAACAAGGGAAUCUAAAUGGAACGGCGAGCGGUGGAAAGGAAGCAGCGGAAAUAGAGUCUGAGCAGUGAGAAUAGAAGGCGGAUAUAGUGCGGGCUAUUAAUCGAGAAGAAGCUCUCGAUAAGCAGAGGAAAGACAAUUACCGUUUUCGAUUUUGGCCAGUCGCCCUUUCGCUUUUGGGUCUGUUCGGCGGUAGCAUUUCAGAUAGUUUUUAGCCUUUCUGACUAGAGUCAAAACACUGUCUCUCUCCGGUAACGUAAUAUCUGCGAGGAGUGUUUCGUUAAAUGUUUAGCAUUUUAAAUAAAUAAAUAAAUAAUUUUUUUUUACACACAUGCCCAUUAUUCUUUAUCCUCUCCUCAAGCCCUAAAAUUUACUGAAUCAGAAGUUGUUCCUCUCUACUAGUUGCCGUAUAUUUGAAUUUUGAUUGCAGCCCUCUGCUAUUUGAUAAUUGCAUUACCAAACAUUAACAACCAAAUCUCAAGUUGGUAAGGAAUAACUGUAUCAAAGUAUCAAACUAUUCACAAAAUGUUUGCAUAACAAUAUCUGCAAGUUUAAUUUCACAAUUUAAAAUAAUUAUAUAUUUAAUACCAUUAAAAUAAUAAGAUCAAUUAUGAAAAUGCAGUGAGAAUGCAUGAUUUUAAGUAUAAAUAAUACUUAAUACUACUCACAGUAUUAGGGAACAGAAACGGCUCUAAUUUCAAUUUUAGUUUCCCAUAGCGGCUCAAGGAUCCGGACAAUCUAGAAGAAUAUUUAAAUUAAGAACAGAUCUUCAUUGAUACAAAAAUAAAUCGGUAAUUAUUUCGUUACCAUCUUGAAUUCAAUUCACAGAGAUCCUGUUGGAAAUCCGACAGUCUCUUAUUUAAAAAUCAAAAAUCUACUUACUAAAUUUAUAAAAAGAAAGAGCAUCGCUCGCCCCAUCAAUCUCAAUGAGAAUCCUAUCUGCAACUAAAUUCAUCAAUAAUUCACAUUUCAAUAUGAAUAGCCAAAUCGAACAAUAACUUUAAUUUAGAUGCUCCAUUCCUUGGCAUUGAUUAGCCCUUCGUUUACAUUCCACCACUACCAAUGGAACUAUAGUUUAUGUUAAACAAUUUACAAAAGACUACAUUUAACAACUAAGUAUUGCCAGUAAUGAUCCUUUUCGUACAUGAUUUUUAAGGUUCUAAAUUAAUUCUUAAAAUGCCAUUCCACCCUGGAAUUUACUAAGACCUCACAAAUUCUUAAUUAUUCUUCACUCAAAGGGGGUCAAUUGCCAACACAACCACUUAGAAGGAUUGGAAUCAAGAUUAGGAUCAGAAUCAACAGGAAUUAAAGAAGACUCACCAAGUUCUUGUUCUUCUGUAUCUUGAGGGACUGAAAUUGUAGAGGACGGUUGAUCAGAGGUCUCAUGCUCCAUGGUUGUAUCUGUAUUAAUCCGUCAUGUAUAGGUUUUCAAAUCAGGUCUAUCCAAUCUUCCUAGAGAUUUGGCUGGGUGUUCUCUCUUACUAUCUAUGUCUAUAGGAAUCUCCCCCUAGAAACAAAUGUCAUCCAUCACCUCUUCCGUCUAAUAUUUCUCCCCCCAAAGAGGUGACUGGAAAGAAAAAUAAGAUUCAAACUCCCAAAAGGUAACAUCCAUACUCACAAAGUAUUUCCUAGAAGAAGGAUGAUAACACUUGUAUCCUUUUUGAGUAUUAGAGUAACCAACAAACACACACUUCAAGGCUCUAUGAUCUAAUUUGCUUAGACCAUUUUGAUGAACAAAGCAAACACAACCAAAGACUUUAGGAGGUACAAUAUAAGAGUUUUUUCCUUGAAGAGACUCUAAUGGAAAUUUAAAAUUUAAAGUACAAAGAGACAUACGAUUGAUAAGGUAAGCAGCAGUCAAAAUAGCAUCCCCCAAUAUGGUUUUGCAAGAUUCAUAGUGAACAUAAGGGACCUAGCUACUUCCAGUAAAUGCCUAUUUUUCCUUUCCGCUACUUCAUUUUCAACACUAGUAUUAACACAACUAGUUUGAUGUAUAAUACGAUUAGAACCUAAAUAGGUACGAAAAUCUGCAUUCAUGUAUUCAAUACCAUUAUCAGUUCUUAAGAUUUUAACAUGCGCAUCAAACUGAGUACAAAUCAUUUUGUGGAAGUUUUGAAAACACGAAAAAACUUCAUUUUAUAUUUUCAUCAAAUAAACCCAAGUCAAUCUAGUGCAACAAUCAAUAAAGGUCACAAACCAUCUAGUACCAGAAAGAGAGACAUUUUUAGUAGGACCCCAAACAUCAAAAUGAAUAGUAGCAAAAGGAAUCAAAUUUUUAUUAUUAAUUGGAGAAUAAGAACGCCUGAUGUGUUUGGCAAGUUUACAAGCAUCACAUACUAAUGAAUUAAAAUCACAAUUAGCAAACUAAGUGGGAAAUAAAUGUCCUAAAAUAGAAAAAGAGGGAUGUCCUAAUCUCCUAUGCCAUUGAAUAACUUCAUGGGAAGGAUUUCUAGAAGUUCCUAACAAAGCUUGACUGGUACCUGAAUUUGAAAAACGACAAAUGUCAUCCAACAGACACAGUCCAUCGCGCAAGCUACCACUGCCAAUCGUUCUCCCCGUGUUCAGUUCCUGAAUUAUAGAAUGAGUGGGGUAAAAAGUUACUUUGUAAUUAAGGGCUUUUGUGAUUAAGCUAACAGAUUAAUAAGAAAUCUAGGAACAUGAAGAACAGGGGAGAGUUUAAUAUUGGAAGUACAGUCAAUAGAACCUGUUCCAGCAAUGGGUACUAAGGAGCCAUCCGCAAUGCGAAUUUUGUCUGUGCCUUGAUACUUAGAAUAUGUGAGGAAAUGUUUUAUAGAGUCUGUUGUAUGUUUAUUUGCUACUGAAUCUAUAACCCAAGAGGGUUUUAUAAUUUUUGCAAGACAGGUAAGGAAAGCAUUACCUGUAUUAACAAAAUUAGAGGCUGCAGUCUGAGUUGAGGAAGAAUCAAGCUGUGACAACAAUCGUUUCAGGGACUGAAUCUCCUUAUCAAAAAAGCUUCCAGCAGUAGAUGGUUCCUCAGAUAAAGCUCCACUACUAGAUAUGUGUGCCUAUGGUCUAGAAGAACUGACUCGCUUUCCUCCGCGCCCUUUAGUUGGGUGUCCAUGUAAUUUCCAGCAGAACUCCUUAGUGUGCCUGUUCUUACCGCAAUAGUCACAAAAUAAUUGAUCUCUAUCCGAAGAAUUGCUCUUUUCUCUUGCAGAAUUAGCAAUCAACCCUGCUUUAUCAAUUGUAGAUCUGUGAACGUUGUCAAUGGUAAAUCUGUGAACCAUAGCGUUCCUCCUAGUCUCCUCUUGCUGUACAAAUGAGUAUGCUUGUCGUAAGGAUGGAAAAGGAUCUCGUCCAAGAACUUGGACUCGAAUCUGAUCAUACUCGUUAUUUAGGCCAGUCAGAAAAUCAUACACACGUUAUACUUCAAUCCACUUUUGAACUUGAGUCGCAUUAUCAGUACAUCUUGCUUGAAAGUCUUAAUAAUAAUCCAGUUCCUGCCAUAACCUACUAAAUUCAGCAAAAUACUGAGCGAUAGUCAGAUCUCCCUGCUUGGUUUCAUGAACUUUCUGUCGCAAUUCAUACCUCUGAGCAUAGUUUCCAGUUUGUGAAUACGUCUGUGAAGCAGCAUCCCAUAUCUUCUCAACUGUAUUAAGAAGCAAAUAUCCUCGGGAAAUAGUUGGCUACAUGAAAUUUAUGCACCAAGACAUAAUAAGAGAAUUCUCGAAUUUUCACUUGUUAAAGGCUGGAUCUGUCGAAACUGGUUUAGUUGCUCCACCAUCAAGGUAUUCCUGCAAACCUCUACCUUCAAUGAAUAAUAAACAAGACUGAGACCAAGCCAAGUAGUUUGUUCCAUCUAUCUUCACCGGACUAAUCUGAAGUGAGAGGCUCUCUAAGUGAAAAACCAUAUUUACCUUCUUUCCGUCAACCAUAUCUUCAAAAAAAAAAAAUAAAAAAAAAUAAAAAACUAAAACGGCAUUAGUGGUGAAAGGCAGCAGCAGUAAAAGCCAACAGCAGUAGUGGAAAUAAACCAAAAAAGAGAAAAAAAAUUCCAAAAGGCAAAACUGGUGCUGAAGAACCAGUAGGUCUGAGUCGCCACACCGAGUCGAGGUCGCCGGAACAAGAAUCGUCAACAGAUCUCGCCGAAAAUAGCCACAUGCGCCGGCGCGUGAAGAACAGUCAGUAUCUUCUGGAGGCGGGUGUGCACACGCGCGUGGUCGGACGGCGACGCAGUUUGGAUGGAGUGCCGAUUGGCGGUUGUUCUUCCCUCUGAGACGGGCGAUGACGACCAACUCCUGCUUCCGGCGGUGCUGUGUGUAUCUCAGACCACUUUGCAAACUAAAACCGUUGCCAAAAAAUUCACAACAAUGGCUCUGAUACCAUGUAGAAAUUAAAGGAAAGAAUUUGUUCUAUUUCUUUCAAUUGUGUUAUGUUUUUCAACCUCUACUCCACUAUAUAUAUACAUAAAAUUGUUUCAAUAUAGGAAGUAAUCUAAAGAGGAAUAAACCUAAACUAGAAAACAAAAUUUUUACACUAAUUAGGAAUAAACCUAAACUAGGAAACACAAUAUUUUACUUUAAUCACAAAGAUUUCAACACUAAUUAAUUAAUUUACUCUCCUUAUUUUUAUUAGAGUGUUAUUUCAUAUACUUAUUUAAAAUACACAUUAUUCAAUUAGUUUUUCAUUUCAUAUUAUGUACAUAACAUACUCCUUUCAGUUUUUAGCUAUUGUUUGAAUAAGUUUGCACUUAUUUUUUGGAUUUAAUAAAAAUCAAACUAAAUCUUAGUUUCUCAAAUUUUUCUAUUAACAUUGAAACAAAACUAAUAUUUUAGUGUAAUAUGGAUAAGUUUAUAGUUAGUCUUCACAAAAUGUUUUGUACUAUAAAUUUUUUAGGGCUUGAACGAUUUGGCAAGAGUUAUCGUUUGAGACGGUUGAAUUAUUUGAGACCAGAUAUCAAGUAUGGUGGUUCUACUGAAGAAGAAGACAAAAUUAUUUUCUCCCUCAAUAACAGCUUGGGAAGUAGGCAAGUCUCUCUAUAUAUUAAUCCAUUUUCACUAUUACAUAUACAGUAUAUAUUUCCUCUUAAAGAUUAAGAUUUUCUUUUAUUUAUAUUAGAGGUGGUCUUUCAUAGCUUCUCAGCUUCGAGGAAGAACAAACAAUGAUGUGAAAAAUUACUGGAAUAUCAGAUUGAAGAAGAAGUUGUUGGCAGUGGCAGGUAAGAAUACUAAUAUUGAUUCCAGCAGGAGAAGCAAAAAACGCAACAAUACUAACAGUAACGUAGCACAACCUUUGUAUUAGUACUACAAACAACAACUAAUUACCUGAGCAAUUGUUUACCAUAAAGACUCGUUAAAAGCAAAUACAGCAAGGAAGCUAGUAGAUUCACACAUUUUCUUAAGUCUUUGGAGAAGCUUUUGAUCGAAGAAGACAAUGAUAUUGCAGUACCUAUGGGAACCAAAAAGUAAAAUCUGUGUAUUAACAAUGGUAAAUUAAUGAAAGGAUCAAGUGAUUAAGAGUGUAGAGAGAACCUUGCUAGAGCAGCUUUGAAAGGAGAAGAAAUUAAAAAACCCAAGUAUUGAGUUCAAGGCAGCGUGAAGCAAUACGAAGGAUAUAAAAACCAUUUAAAUUUUAGUGUUAUAUAGAAACUAUAAUUUGUGUUUCAUUCAAAACUUUCAAUUAAUUGGCUAAAUCUUAGGUAGUGUAUGAUUUAAACAAAUCAAAUAUCGUGUUCAAUAAUUUAAAUAAUUUAAUAUGAAAAAUCUAUAAGUAAAAUAUUAAUUAAAAUAUUUAAGUUGUCCAAUAAUAAUACAGAAAAAUAAAAAGAAAUUUCAAAAAUUUCUAAAACAAAUAGAAUGAUGAACAAAAAAAGAGCCUUGAUUUUUCUCUUUAUUUCAGGUUUCGUAUGUAUAGAUAGAUUGGGUUUUUCAGAAAAAAUGAAAAAAACAAAAAAUAAAAAAACUUUUGAAAUUAACUAGAAUUUCUAGGAAUAGUUUGAAAGAUUCUCGAUUCAACAAACCUGAUGAUGCCGUUGUGGACUUUGGGUCCAAUUAACAAAUAUUUGCCUUAACUUUGCAUUAAGUCUUCAUAUCUAGUCCACAAAUUCGAAUAUAGAUUUUUUCUGAAAAUUUAUUUUAAAAUUCAAAAUGUUUUGAAAAUAAAAUUAUAGGAUAUUUCAGCAACUCAGGCUGGACAUGUGGAGAACUCUCGGAUUUUAUCCCUACUAAAUGCAUUUGUAGGGAGGGGCGAGGAUCUUUAACUCUGACUAAGCCCUGAACUAGAUUAGAUUGUCUCUUGUAAUGGGUGCGAAUAUCGGUGGUUACACCAAAAAUAUAUAUAUAAUUAUUUCGUUUUCUUUCAAUUUGAUUUGUUAUUUGGUUAAUAUAACUAUUUUGUUUCAUUUUAAUACUUAUUAUUAUGUCUAUUAAUAGCCCUUUUAUAUUACGGGCAAGAAUCAAAUAUCAUGAAUUAUGCAUGCGAUACAAAUUUUGAGAAUCUAUUAAUUUUAAAUAUAAUUAAGAUAUUGUUAUUAUAUUUUGAGCUAUAUUAGCCUUUGAUUUUAGAAUUGUCAAUGAUAUUAUGCCUCGAAUAUGCUUCUGAAGUAACAAUAUCGAAAGAGAAUAUUUUAAGAUAUUUUGGAUUUAUUUCAUAUCCCUCUUUUAUCAUGAGAGAUCUUAAUAGAGAUCAUGAGACCGUCCAACUGGAUUUUGCUUCAUCUCUGAAGUGAAUGGAAUAACAUAUAUAUGGGUGUAGCGAUGUCUAUCUAACUAAAUGUGAUUCAUUCUCCGAAGUGAAUGCAAUAAUAUAUGAUAUUGGACGUAGACAUGAAUAAUGACAAAGAUUGUACAUGUCAUUGAGAAUAUUAAUAAGAUCACAGUUAAAAUCAUGAUUUUAGCAGUUAUAGCUGCUAAAUAAUUAAGAAUAAAUUUUACCAUUAGUGGUACAAAUAAUAUGGCACAUGGCAGAUAUUGGUUGUGUACUUAUUGUACACCAAAAUAUGAAAAAAUAAAUUUGGUUUGAUAGUAAAAGAAUAUUUAAAAGCUCUCGAAUAGCAAGUGUUACUACCUAGAGGAAUGAAUUUUAUGCAUAAUGCAUUAUUCAAAGAUAUUCAUUAUAAUGGAUAUUAUAUAUAGAUAAUGAUUGAAAUAAAUAUUGUUGUAAACCAGAAGUUUACAAAUCCAAUACUUUUAUUAUUUGGUAUAAUCAGUUGGACCAUCCCGAUUAAUAAUGAUGCAAAAAAAAAAUUUAAAUCUUCAUGUAAAUAUUUAUUGAAGAACCAGAAGUUUCUUUAAUUCUAUUGAAUUUUUCAUGUUUGGUUUGUUCUCAAAGCAAAUUAAUUAUUGUGCAAUUAUCAAGUAAAGUUCAAAUUGAACUGCUUGCAUUUUUUGGAAUAUAUAAAGGGUAAAUCAACCAUGUGGAUCAUUUAUUAGAUGUUAUAUGGAUGCAUCCGAAAAAUAGUUACAUCAUUAUUAUUAACUUGCAACCUGAAAUUUUUAAAGAUUAUUAUCAACAUGCAACUAGAAGUUUGCAGGAUUAUUUGUGCAAAUAAUUUGAUGAAGAAUAUAGUUUUCAAAUUAUGCUAUUAAGACAAUUUAUCUUAAGAAUAAUGGUGAAUUUACACAUCAGCCUUUAACGAUUAAGACAUGUGUUAAUUGAAAUAAUUUAGGGCAACCUAUUGUUGCUUUUAUUCAUGCUCAAAAAUGAUUUAUACUCCAUUCAUUUCCGUAAAAUAAUUUACAGAAAAAUAACUUGCUGAAAAUAUUUUUAUGGAAAAUAUUUUCCUUGAAAAAUAUUUUUCAAAUGACUUAUUUUCUGCUGUUUGGUUGUAACGUUGAAAAUUAAUUAAAAACAUUAAAGUCUUUAUCUCAUAAGACCAUAAAAAAAUUAAUAAUAAUAUAAAUUUUAUAAUUUAGAAAUUUUAUUGUUAAAUAAGACAAUAAUGCAAAAAGAAAUGUAAAUUAUGAAAGUCGUCGGAGGCCGGUGGUGAUCGGUGGUAAAUAGUGACUGGUAGUAGUGACUGUGAUGAUUAAUAAACUAAAAAAAUAUGAAUUUAUAAGGUUUACCAAUUUCAGAAAAAUGUUUUACUCUCUCGAAAAUGAGAAGUUGUUUUCCUUAAAAAAUACUUAAUUUUCCUUUGACUAGGAAAAUAUUUUCUAUUGACUUAUUUUCCUAAAUGCCUCAAACAACGAAAAAUUGUGAAAAAAUAUUUCCUUAUAAGUUAUUUUACGGAAACAAAUGGAGCCUUAGUAGAAUCAUUUAUAAAUGAUUGGAAUUAAUUGCAAGACAAUUAUUAUGAGAAAGAAUCCCCCUAUUUUUUAGAGGGACAUGCUAUUAAAUUUAAUAGAACUUACUCGCAUCAAGGCAAUAAAUUAUUUUAUAAGUUCUUCCCUUUAUAAUUGAUUUUAGAUCAGGAGCCAAAUAUUAUCUAUUGAAGAAUUUAUUCUACUCUGUGUAUAUAUAUACUAGUAAUUAUUUUCGCUAUUAAAUUGUGUUAUUAUUUUUAAAAAUAUUUAAUUUUUGUGAAAAAGGAAAUAAUUGAAAAUAUUUUAAGGGGAAGUUUUAGCAUAUAAUAAUAUUUAAUUUUUAUUUAUUUGAGUGUUUAAGAAUCAAAUUAUUUGAGAUUAAAAAAAAAUUAAUUGUUCAAAUAUGUUUUUGUACAUUGCAUGCAUGUAUAUAUAAUGUGUCAUUAGUUUAUUAUAAUCACUAGAUUAUUUGAAAGGGAGCAAAAAUGAAAGACAAAUCAGACUGAAUAAUAAAAUUAUUCAUCAAAAUAAAUUCAAAAAAUCAUAAAUCAUAUCAAAAUGCCUAAACAAAAAAAUUUAAAUAUCGGAAGGAAACUUAUGCCUAAAUAUGUCUCAUAAUGUCAUUUUUCAUUUCAUAAAAAUCAUUAAAAAAGUUUCUUUCAACAGAGAUGAAAAAUAUAAAAUCAGUUUCCACCAAUACCUGUAAUCAAUGGUGUUAUUCUUAGUAGAAUUUCAUCCAUAGAGGCACAUAACACAUAGACCAUCUGAAUCGGCCGGAAGCAAUGUGAAACCAUUUCUAUUGAUUGAGAUUUUAUUAACAACAAUGUCAAUUUGUAUAUAUGUUGCACUACCUAAUAAAGGACAUGAAUCAUUAAUUGUAAGCUUGAAGGCUAGAAAAAGGAAUUACAUAAUUAAUCUAAAGCUAAAUCACCAAAAAAAAAAGUCUGAACUUCAAUAUUUUUCUUAAAUUUUAGCUGAUACUUUUAAUUUUAUCAAUUAUAUCUCAGGCUUAUUUUUUCUUGUCAAGUACGGUUUUGGCCAGAAUCCAUUAGUUUGUUGCUUAUUAGGCCAUUAGUUGGCCUCACAGCAGGUCAGGUCACAUCCACAUACAACACAUCAGCUUACAUCCACGUGGUAGUUCUUUGGUGUUCAUCCUUGCUUUUAUAAUUUAGAAGAUUGAUUUUUAAGACAAUCUUCUUCCCAUCCCUCUGCAAAUUUGAAAAAAAUUUAGUGCAGGUUUACAAUUAAUAGAUUCUUGAUGGACCCUCAACAAGCAACUCGUACCGUCUGUAAUCCCAAGAUCAAUUGGUUUCUUCAGUCUCGAAGCUGCAUCAUUUAACCGCACCCAGUUGUACUCUAGACAAAAGCCAGAAUUAAUAAUAAAAAAUAAGUAUAUAGUAUUGAUUCAUAAAAUUAAAAGUAUUAUUAAACUUUAAGGUGUUUAUUACUAUUGUGGUUUAUAGUUUUUCGUUUAAUUUUAGUAAAAACAAAAAUAAAACGUGUUUAUUGUAAAAGUGUUUAAAUUUACUUUGUAACUUCUUUCAAAAUGGUUUAAAAAACAAAAAACAUAUUUUGUGAAACUACAGACGCUAUUUUUUUUUUUUCUUUAAUAUGCUUCUCUCUUCUCUCUCAUACAAGUCUCUCUCCCAUAUGUCUCUCCUACAAGUCUCUGUAAUAGAAUAAUUCAUUUAUACUAAGCUCUAGUUUUUAAUGUGAAUAUAUUACAUUGUAUUAAUUCUCUUCUAACUAAUUAUUUUUGGUAUGUUCACAAACUAAACCAUCAGUUAAACCUUGAACUUCACAAAUUGUAACUGUUGUACCCUAAAAUGACCUUAAUCUCGCAAGCACCCCAACAUUAUCUUUUUAUAACAAUUACACUCCAAUUUCAAUCCGGUAAAAAUUACAUAAUAAAAAAUAUUUUCGUGGAUCCCACACCUAUCCCUUGAGUUAGCUAACCCAAAGGAACAGUUAACCCAAAAAUCAGUGCGUUAAUGAAACUCUGAAAAUGUUUUUUCUCUUUCGUUCAUCGUCGACCUCUUUGCUUCAGGUCCAGUCAGUUAUUAAAUCUCUAAUUCUUAUCACUCAUCUCUUCAACAUAAAUCUAAACCUUUUUUAAGAAGCCACAGCGAUUUGAUUGACAUUUAAUCAGUUUAGAAGGGUUCGCACAUUUGAAAUGGGAAGGGAGAAAGCCAAAAGAGAUUGGUAUGAGUUCGAAUCUUGCUCCUUUAAUGGAAUUAUUUAUGUGUUUGUGGAUUUAAGCUAUUGAUAUGGACAAAAAAAAUAACACUAAUUUGUCUUUAUAACCAUUUUUUUGCAUGUGGUUGUAUUGGGUUUAAACUUUAGGGGAUUUAGGGUUUGGUGAAUAAAUUAUUGCAUUUUAUUUGGUGAGUGCAUAGACAACGACUCGAUCAAUUGGAUAUCUAGUUCGACUCGAUCCGAAUGGAGCGGAUAAAAUCUGAUUCAUUUACCGGUGGAUCGGAUAUGGAUUUUUAAAAUAUAAUCCCCAUGGAUAUGGAUAUAGCAUAAUCCAAUAUGUGAAAAAUAAUAUUACUUUUUUCUUAUAUUUCUAAAAUUGUUAAUUGUAAUUCUAGAUGUGUAGUUGCGUUUAUUCUUCUCUUUCUUCUUUCUUUUCCAUUUAUAUUUUAAAUUAUCACCUCCAACUCUUUCACCCUUUUCAUAUUUUUUUUCAAUCUCUACUUCAAACAAAAGAAUAUGAGUUAAACAUUACGACCACUAGCAUGAUUUUUUUUUUUUUUUGUGCUUAACAAUUUUUAAAGUCCCUUCUAAUUGUUAUAGUAUCUAAUAUUUCCAAUUACUAUUAGAAAUUUUUGUAUUUUCAAGCACAAUAAUAAUAUGAUUUUUUAUUAAAUUAUUGUUCUAUUUUUAUUUUUCUUUUAAACAUAAUAAAAAAAUAAAUAAUAUUCGAUCUGACAUUCGAUCCAAUCCCAAUUCGAGUGGAUUGGAUAUGGAGAUUGAUAUAUGAAAAUCUUCGCUGGAUCAGAUAUAGAUUUUGCAUAAUCCAAUCCGGAUUCGAUCCAUGAUUAUCCUAAGUGAGAAUUAAAGGAAUAUGGAGAAAUACAAGCCUGCUUCAUAUGGUGCAUUUGAAUUAACUAUUCCUUUGGCUUAGCUAACUCAAGGGAUAGGUGUGAGGUCCACGAAAAAUAUUCUUUUUAUCGUGUAACGUUGAAGUCUCUUCUAAUUGUUAGUAUAUAAUAUUUCCAAUUAUUGUUAGAAUUUUUUGUGUUUUCAAGUACAAUAAUAAUAUGAAUUUUUAUUCUAUUUUUUUCUUUUAAACAUAAUAAAAAAUAGAUAAUAUUCAAUCUGAUCUGACAUGCAAUCCGAUCGCAAUUCGGAUGGACUGAUUAUGGACAUUGAUAUAUGAAAAUCUUCGCGGAUCGGAUAUGGAUUUUGCAUAAUCCGAUCCAAAUUCGAUCCAUGAUUAUCCCUAAGUGAGAAUUGGAGGAAAAGAGAGAAAUACAAGCCUAAUUCACACAAUGCAUUUUGGGUUACCUAUUCCUUUGGAUUAGCUAACUCAAGGGAUUGGUGUUAAAUCCACGAAAAUAUUUUUUUAUUAUAUAAUUUUGACCGAAUUGGAAUUGGGGGUGCAAUUGUUAUAAAAAGAUAAUUAUGGGGUGCGUGGGAGGUUAUGUAAUUUUGAUCGGAUUGGAAUUGGUGUGCAAUUUUUAUAAAAGAUCAUUCUGAGGUACCUGAAGGGGUAAAAUCAUUUUAGGAUACAAUUAUUAACUUUCAUAAAGUUUAGUAUUAAGAUUAUUUUAGGAUACAAAUAAGAUUAUUUUAGGAUACAAUUAUUAACUUUCGUGAAGUUCGGAGUUUAACAGAUGGUUUAGCCAUUUUCAGGUGGGUCUAUUUCUUUUAACUUAACUUUGGGCUUCAUCUGAUAUUAGUCCAAUUAGUUAAUGGAUCUUAUGUAACCUUGGGCCCAAUUGCAUUUGUCUUUGGUUUUAACCUAGCAGCUUCGAUGUCUCUUCAUUCUCACCGAUACCAAACCCUAGUGAACCAUAGCGCCGCUCUCAUCUGUUCUCUUAUCAAGCCUAGCUCUGUUCACAUCAACAACCCUUUAAUCUUCGCCGUCCGUCUUCAACCCUUCAACCCAUUACCUUGUUCACAUACUGACUGAAGUUCUGCUAUCAGACCUAAUGAUUUGUUCUUACUAACCAUGGGUAAAGAUUAUUUAAGUUAGGUCUUCGGAUGGCUACUGAAGAUUAGGUUCUUGACUUGUAUAUAUUUUUUUUUUUGUUUUUUUCCACAUUGAUCUGCAUUUAUCUUAUCAUGCAUUUUUUUGACUUUGCUAAUUUUCAUAAAAUCUUUUGUCAUUUUUCGUGGGUGCUUCUUUGCAGAAGCAUUUAACUUGGACCUGAUGGAGCAGGUUAGUAAAAGAUUUGCAUUUCUAUAUUUAUAGGAUAGUAAAUUGUGAUUUCCUAUGUGCAUUGUAAUUUGUUUACUUAUUGUAGUGUUCAAAUAUGGCAGUAUGAGAAAGUUGAAAAGAUUGGUGAAGGAACGUAUGGAGUGGUAUACAAGGCUCGCGAUCGUACAACCAAUGAGACUAUAGCUCUGAAGAAAAUACGUUUGGAACAAGAAGAUGAAGGUGUUCCUAGCACUGCAAUUCGAGAAAUUUCCCUCUUAAAAGAGAUGCAGCAUGGCAACAUUGUAAGGUAUAAUUGAUUAAAUUAAGCUUUGGGGCAUAGUUGCUUCAAUAAAAUACUUGAAACUUGUUGUGGAUAAGAAUAUCUAGACAUGGUUACAAUACUUUGAAACUUUAAUUCAGUGGGAAACUCUGUGAAAGAAAAAAAAAAAAAUACAAAAGGCAAGCCUGAUAGCCAGACAUAUUACUGUAUUGUAUAAUUUGUCUUCAAGGUCACUGCAGGUUUGAAAACAGUACCUCGGCCACCUCUUUGUCUGCCUUGUAUUUUCAUUUCCCUGACUAGGUUUCUUUACAAAUAAACUGCACAAAUACUCUAAUGUGGGUGAAAGCUUCUUUUAAAUUCUGCUGCAGUAUUAUUAUCAGGAGUGUGCAUUUGUUUUGUGUGUAUCUCAUGUAUGUCAAAAUUGGUAAGGCUCAUGAUGGUUAAGCUAUCAUAUAAGGUCUGAUAUCAAUGUUCUAUUUUGUAAGUCAUUCAUUUAAAGCUUAAACUGCUUCUUUAAAGACUACCAUAGAGGCAUGGAAAGCCUCUGGGUUCUGGUAGAUAUAAGCUAUCUCGAUUGCUGAUAUGACUUUAUUCCACUUUUUCGUUGUAUUUCAAUAAAACAAUACUAUUCAUAGUUAACAAUGCUAUUCAUAGUUAUUGGCACACCUUGGCGCAAGGCGCUUUUAUUUGCUUUGUAUGAUUUUUUUUUUUUUUUAAUUCCUUCCUAAGUUGUUUCAUCUAGACACUCCUUUGAAAUAUUUUAGGGACUGACAUACCUUGUAUGCAUACAAGUUAUACAUGUAAAAGGAAUUUAUGAAAGAUUACAACUCUUUUUCAAAGAAAUAGGCUUGGGUUGUCACAAACUGACCUUCCUAUUUUUGAUGAAUUGAGUUCGCUUUUUAAGAUUUAAUUAAACUCCAGUUAACAAUUAUUCUUUUCUUCUUUCUCUCUAACUUUACUAUUCCUAUGAAUUGGCUGACAUGAUUUGACUAUCCUAGAUUUUGUAUGAUCCUGUAGUCGUGGCCUUCCUUUUCAGAUUUAGUGCAACUUUCUAAGUUGCAUGAACACUCUGAAAGGUUUGAUGUACCCAUGUCAUAGUGUUAUAAUACAUCGACCCCUCUAUUACACUCUCAAACAUGUCUUAGGUACUCUGGAGCAAAUAUCCUGUUGUUUUUUUAAUUUUAUUAAUUCUGGACACUGCAAGGAUGUCUCUAGGACACUUUUUGAGGACACUUCUUAGAUAUUUUAAGAACAUAUUUGAAAAUUUUAUCAGACUUGUUGAUAAAUUCAUUAAUUAAAAAUUCUAAUUGUGGUCUUAAAUAUAAACUAGAUAAUUAUUUAUAUUUAAAUAGAAAUUAAAAGAUAAAUGAAAGAAGGGAAAACCCUAUCUUAUUAUUUAUAAGUUGUAACUUUAUUACAUAUCUAUUACUGUCAAAUUCAAAAGCUAAUUCCUGAGGUUGAUUUGAAAUUCAGGAAUUCACAAGGUUUUUAUUAUAGCAUUCUUUGGCUUUUAUCAAGAAAAUUUGACAAUAUUAUUUUGAACAAAUUAAAAUGCGAGACAUUGCAAGAGAUAAAUCUGACUCUUUUGAAGAUGUUGGAAUUCUUGAAAUUACCAAUUUAUCUCUAGAUGAUUUUAAUAAUAAUAUUAAUGUUGAGGAUUAACUAAUGAUGUUAAAAGUAGGAAUUAAGUGUUCUUUAUUUUACGUUUAUGACUUGUUAUAAAUUAUUCUUUACUUAUUUUAUUUUUAAUAAACUAUAUCUAUUUAGUGCAACGUGUCUUGUCCAACUUUUUGAAAAAUUGAUGUAUCUUGUGUCCGUGUGUGUUGUUCCUUGUGUCCUAUGUCCACAUCCAUGCAACUUGAGCAUUUUUAUUACCUUUUUUCAGAGGAGCAACAUUAUUACCAUUAAAAGACAAUUUAACACAGAUAGUUUUGAUUUUGUUUUGAUUUUAAAAAGCCAGAAAAAUUCUUAAUGUUGAAUUUUAUUAAUAUGACUAUAUGUGUAGUUAUUUUUUAUAGUAUUUAUUCUCGUAUUAUAUUUUUUUUGCUCCUCAUGUCACGUGCCAGCACUAUGCACCUUACUGCAGGACCCAUUUGCGCAUUAAUGCACCUUCUGCCUUCAAUAACUUUGAUGCUAUUGGAAUACUUCAUAUGCAUCUUCUCAUUUUCAAAAUAUGUGGAUGCUGUCAACUGGAUAAGGCGUUGCACCUUCACCUAUUCAUGCUCCAGCAAUGAACAGAUAAAAUUACUUUUGCAAUUUAUAGAAAUUUGGUUAUAGACAUCUGCAUUUCUGUGUGCUUGUGAGAAUUUUAUUGCCCAUAAUUUUACUUUCAUGUAUUUCAUUAUUCUAGACCUUUUACCUUUGGGGCUUUGUUAGCAUUAGCAAAGGAUCAACAUGACAUGCACAUGAAUAUACUAUUGGUGGCAUAACUUCCUAAAAGCUUUCCCUUAUUAGGUUACUGAAAUUGGCACCACUCAAUAAAUUUUUCUUCCCCCAGCCAAACAUUGUAUUUGGUUUACUGAAUUAUUUGUAUAUUUCCUAAAUAUCAAGUUUUCUCAUGUAAUAUCUCUUUAUUUUCCUCUGUAACUUUAACAAGAUAUCUGAUUGAUAUUGUGGUGACAGGUUACAGGAUGUAGUUCACAGUGAGAAGCGCCUGUAUUUGGUAUUUGAGUAUCUAGACUUGGAUUUGAAGAAGCACAUGGAUUCUUGUCCUGAAUUUGCUAAGAAUCCUCGUUUGAUAAAAGUGAGGGAGAUUUUACCUUUCCUUUCAGAGAUUUAUGCUUUCUUUAUUUUAUAGCAUUAUUCUAUGGUCAAAUUAGCAAUAUUUUUAUUCAUGUGGUUUUACAUUAUGUUUUCCAGUCUUCUUUGUGGAUUUCCUGUUAACAUUACCAUUAUUGCCUUAUAGGUUAGCAUGACUGAUUGAAUUUUACAUUUUAAAUUUUUCAUUUAUCAGGCUUCAGAAUGAUGUUGAUGGUGAUGUUAUUUAGGAAGUUAUGAUUAAGUAAUUAUUUUCUUGUUUUCUUUACAUGCAGACAUUCCUUCAUCAAAUACUCCGUGGCAUAGCUUACUGCCAUUCUCAUAGGGUUCUUCAUAGAGAUUUGAAACCACAAAAUCUGCUUAUAGAUCGCCGUACAAAUGCAUUGAAGCUUGCAGAUUUUGGACUGGCCAGAGCAUUUGGUAUACCAGUUAGGACAUUUACACAUGAGGUAUCAAUUGCACCAGUUUAGUUUUCUUGGUCUCUCUGUCCUUGCUAUAUAUGCUUGAUUAGGAUGUCUGAACUGUUUUGAUCUAAUCCUAUCAUACGUUUUCUUGAUUCUUUGGCUGUGAUGCACGGGCAUGCGAGAAGCUUGACAUUUCCAUGUUCCGGAAACAUUUCAGAAACAGAAACACCCAUAAACGGCUUGGAAACGUGUUGGGUCCAUUUCUGUAAAUACGGAAAAUCGGACACCCGUUUCCCUCCCCAGAAAUAUUUCUCGCAUUAAAGAAAAAAAAUCAGAUUUCAAAUCCAAAUCAAAUUUGGAUGAUUUGCAAAUCCUAUUUGGGAAAGGACAAAUAAUCGUACUUUUAAUUUUAAUAUUCAAACUUCAAAUUUAACAGAAUUUCAAUAUAUUUUUCAAUUUUGACAUUGAAUAUGUUGUUUUCUUUUUUCUUUAUUGAGUAUGGAACUUAUAAACUUUUUUUUUCUCUCUUUUGGAUAUGAUUUAUUUUUAGUUAUAGUUAGAAAAAUUUAUCUAUGGUUGAUUGUCCUUUAAAAAUUAUAAACGCACUCUUUCUAAAUUAUUUUUAUAUUUAUUCCUAUAUUUUUAAAUUUUAUAAAUAAAUCCCUGUAUUUUUUAUAUUUACACAUUUCCCCCAUGUUUUUGUUUCUUAUAUUUUUUAAAAUGCCAUUUCCCUGUGUCCGUUUCCCUGUUUCCUCAUUUCUCUGUCCGUGCAUCAUAGUUCAUUGGUAUAGCACUGCAAAUUUUGAGUUAUCCUUUUCAAACUGAGAAUGACAAGCUUUAAAUAUUAUGAGAAGAAAGGCAGAGUGCUAAUUAUUGUUCGGUUGGCAGAGUGCUAAAUAUUUGUGCUUCUCCUGUACUUCAAUUAGUAUAAGGUAGUUUCUCUUAUUACAUCCUAUUAGAAAAAAUCUUUAAUAAGCAUAGAAUGUUAGCUUGAUUUCUACCUCAUUAAGAGAGAAAACACACACACACACACACACACACAAAGGAAUUAUCUAUGGUUUACUAACCUGAAAAUAGCCACUUCAAGGUAUGAGUUGGUACUGUUUGGCCCAAGUCUCUUGAGUUGUCAAAUCUUAGCCCUUUCUCAGUCCAGAUGCAUAAAUAUUCCCUCUGCAAGGUAUGUUGAUUCCGCAUGGGAAUGUGUAGAUCCUUCUGGAUUUGGCUAAAUAAUGAUGUCAGAUACCUUGAUGAACAUCAACUCUUCGCCCUACCACUUUUCUUUUUAUUUAACUUUUGAUAGUAAGAUAACUGCAAUUGCUAGUGAUCUUUUUAAUGCAUAUAAACAAUAUCAUUGAUAUUGGUGACUAGUGGUUACAAUGUUUUGGUGCCUCUAGGUGGUAACCCUGUGGUAUAGAGCACCAGAAAUACUGCUUGGAUCUCGACAUUACUCAACUCCUGUUGACGUGUGGUCAGUGGGAUGUAUAUUUGCCGAGAUGGUGAAUCAGCGGCCAUUAUUUCCUGGGGACUCUGAGAUUGAUGAACUAUUCAAGAUUUUCAGGUCUUAUGUCUUCUUUAUCGUUUGGUUUCCUUGAUAUUCAUGGUUAUACAUGCCGUUCAAACUUUGCCUAGCUAUACUCGAUCUAUUUUAUGCAUUCAAUCUUCCUGCCAGUUUUGCAUUUCUCUGUAAAUAAUUUUCUUUGAAAGAAUAUCGCACAGAUAAUAUGGGAUAAAAAGUUUAGCAUUAUCAAUCUUAAUGAAAAUUGUUCGGAGGCACCACAUGAAGCUUCCUCUUCUAGCUAUAUGUGUGGGGUGGUUGAAAUUGAAAUUUUUUUUUGCUUGUUCCAUGAUUUGAUAAUGACUUUGGAACCAAGCUUGAGAAUUCAAUUGAGAGUUUCUUGGAAUUCAACCAACCAUCCUAGUGGUUGCAUAACUGUCCUAUAGUACAUGCGAUCAAGGUUGCUUUCAUUUUCACUUUCUGAACACGCUUGCACAAACAAAUAUUGUAUUUCAAAAACCAAGAAACUAUUUGAUCUCCAUGGCAUCCCUACAUGCCGUUGAAGUCAAAUUAUUGUGGAAUACAGUUAAAAAAAGAAAUGCAAAUCUACAAAAAUGUGUUUCACUUGGCAUUCUACUGCUUGAUAUUGGUUCAUUUGUAGAGUCUUGGGAACUCCAAAUGAGGACUCAUGGCCUGGGGUGACUUCUUUGCCUGACUUCAAGUCUGCGUUCCCUAAGUGGCCACCUAAGGUCUCGUUCUUUAUAUUUUCUUUGCAUGAAUCCAGUUUUUUUCAUUUUAUUUCUUUUACUUGUCUCUGAUAUUACUUAUAUUUUCUUGACAAAUCUUAUGCGUUCUUUACUUUACAGGACUUGGCAACUGUAGUUCCAACUCUUGAUUCUGCUGGCAUUGACCUUCUUUCCGUAAGUUCAGGCUUUAUAUUUACACGCACUCACAAAAUUCUCUCUCUAAACUAGAAGUCUGUAAUUUGCACUGAAAGUUAUUGGAACUCUUUAAUAAGUAGUGCUUGGACUUGACAACUACCGAUUUUUGUUGCUGCGAACUUGAGUUUAGAGUUGGUUCACCUAAUUAUUAUGAUGUGAUUGUUUAUUUUUUCUGUGCUUUAACUUAAUACCAUUCUAUAUUAUCAACAAUGCCCAGUUUCUAUGCAACUAAAUUUCGAAUCUUUUCAAUGCCUCGUGUGCUUUGAACUUGCCAGAAAAUGCUAUGUUUGGAUCCCAGCAAAAGAAUUACAGCCAGGAGCGCUCUUGAGCAUGAAUACUUCAGGGACAUCGGUUUUGUACCCUAAUUUCACUUCUCAUCAAGAAUAUAUAUAGAUAUAUAUCAUUGUAUAGCACUUUGGUUGAUUUUGAUUGUGCGCAAAGCAGGCUUGUUCCCUCCCUGUUAUUUGCUCUUCGAUUUUAUUGGCUUUGAACUGAUUCGUUUUGUUGGAAUUGUGUAGCAUCUAUUGUUUUAGAGAGAUACAAAGGAAGUACAGAGAGUAAAUUUUUGUUAUUUUCCUGUUUGCUUGUAAUGGAUGAUACUAUGCUUUGAUUAACAAUAUAUUCCAAUCUUCUCUUUUGCCUGAUUAAUUUAGCAGAAAAUUUUCCUUCAGGUGCUUGUUGGCUUCUUCAUUCGUAACGUAUCCAGGUUUUUGGAUUUCAUUGUCUGAAUCUUGUUAUACAUAUAUAUGAAAUAGAGAAAGCCUGAACUUUGGCCAAUUUUGCAACUUUAGAACUCUUUUAAUUUUGGCAAUUGUGAUAGCGAACUUCAUUUUUUUUUUCCGUUGUGAUUGUCUGCUAAAAGUUAUUGACAUCGUCGAUAGUGGGUCCAUGUUUUGACAGGAAAGAAGGUAAAAAUAUUUUACCCUUAUGAACACAUUUGGCUAUUUAAAAUGUUUUAUAAACACAUUUGGCAAUUUAAAAUGUUUUCUAAACACAUUUGGUACAAUGUUGUUGUAUUUAGAAUGAAAAAAAAUAUAGAUUUUGAAUUUUAUGAAUUGAAUUUUAUGGAAUUGUGUAUGCUUAAUUUAAAUUUUACUAAAAUUGAUAGAAUUUAUAAAUAAAGUUUAUAAAAUUGAAUAUUGAAAUGUUUAUUGAUAAAAUUACAUUUUAUUAUAAAUUCAACUAUUUUUAUUUUUUUCUUAUUUAUUUAUUUUCUUUGGAAAAUUUUAAACUAUAACCAUGUUAUUUUUUUAAUCCAAUAAUAACAUUAGUUUAUGUUUCAUUAUUAUUUUUAAAGUCUAAACUGUGUUUUUUUUUCUAAAUUUAGUGAUAAUGUUAGUUAUUAUUAUUAUUAUGAAACUAUAAAAACUAAUGCAUUGCUUUCAAAUGCAAUGCAAUUAAAUACAAUAGUAACAUUUUUAAUAUUUUUUAAUUUUUAAAUUAAUUACUUAAAUCAACAAAUCUUUUAUAUCGAUUAAAAAAUUAUUAUAAUAAAUAUUACUGUUUAUAUAAUUAAUUAAUUAACAUGGAUUAUUUGUGUACUUAUUUAUAUGAAAUUUAUUAUUUAUAUUUUAAUAAAAAUAUGACAAGUUAUUAUAUCAUACGUAAUAAAUAUAAUUGUAUUUAUUUUUUGUUUAUUAAAUUAUUAUGUCAAUGACGUUAUAAGAAAUAAAAGUAGAAUUUAUUUAUAAAUAAAUUCUAAAGUAGAAUUUAUUUAUAAACAAAUUCUACAAUCGUGAUUCAUUUGUGCCAAAUGGAUAGUUAGGGUAAAACUAGUUAGAGAAAUGAAAAUUUACGUAACUUUGUGAAAAAUGUUAGUUAUCGGUUAGACUUAGGUUAUUGAAACGUAAAACAAGUCAUUUGUUAUUAUCUUUUUUUUUUUUUUUAAUGUCAUUUAUUAUUAAAAUAAUAUUAACUGUUAUCCAUAUAGUUAUACUAAGUAUAAUGGAAAAUUUGUUUUAUGGAUUCAAAGGACACCGAUACAAAUUGUUCAACAACAGUAGAAAUAUCAAUAAUCACUUUAAUAAAAAAUUUUGUUAAGCUAAUAUUUCUCCUCUAAAGUGAAAUAAAAGCAUAUAUUUUCUUCUAAGAAGCUUAAUUAUGUAAAUAAUAUUUUAAAAUUAUUGUGAUUUUAUUCAUUUAAAUUGAAACUCAUUUAUAGAAUGCGAUCUUCAAAAAACAAUCCAAAACUUAGCACUAAUUAGUUAAGUUCAAACAUCAUAGUAUUAUAAAAGAUAACUCAAAAUUUAAUUUUGUACUAUUUAAUUAUAUAAUAUGCAAACACUAAUAACGAACUGUAUUCGUUUAUGCUCGUUAAAAAUAAAAAAUUUUCAAAAAUACUAUCUAUAAUAGGAUAAUUUUUAAUCAUCCAUCUUUAUGUGAAAUCAUAUGGAUAUUUUUUCUAAGCUAAAUAUAUGUAUUUUUUUAAAAAAAUUAAUAUAUAUAUAUAUAUAUAUAUAUAUAUAUAUAUAUUAAUCUUAAAAUGAAAGUCAGAAAAAAAAUUCAAAAGAGAACAUUUAAAGCAAUUAAUUUAUUUAUCAUCAUCACCGUCGGCGGCCACCAUUUAAAAUACCCUUACCGAAUAGUAUUAAAUUUUGUACAGAAGUUAAAGCAAUUUAAUUUAUCAUCUACAAACAUCAUUGCCGGGCAACUACUGUUUAAUUCAUUUUUUUUAUAUAUAAUUUUAAAUAUAAUUUAUCAUCUACAAAACAUCACUGCGGCCCAGUACUAUUUAAUUCAUUUUUAAUAUAUAAUUUUAAAUAUUUUUUAUAGUUUUAUAAAUAUAAUAAGAAAAUAAGAAUAUAAUUAUCAAUUAAUUAAAAAAUUAAUUUUUGCCUAUGCAGGUCGGUUUUAUUAGGGCUCUGCAUAGUUCCUGAGAUUCGAACCAAAUUGAAAAACUGUAUUGACCAAACCGAAAUUAAAAAAAAAUUGAGAUAAUAAGAGAUGAACCAUACCGAACUGAAUGCAAUUUAUUAUUUUAAUUUCAAUUUCGGUUCUUAUAAUUGAAACCACACCAAAAUUAUACUAGAACCGCAUGAACCGAAUCAAAUCGAAAACUGAUAUAUACGCAUAUUUUUUUCAUUAAUCUAAUCUUUUAAGUAUAUUAUGUUAUUUGUAUCCGGCAACAAAUUUUAUUAUUUGCAAAUAAAAUCUCUAUUAGUUAAUAAUUGAGGAGAGAGAUUCGAACUUGAAUAUAUUGUCAGAUCAUAUAUGAACUUAUCAAUAAUUAGCUAUGCCUUUUUUACUUGUAAUAAAUAAUUUCAAUUUAUACUCCAUUUAUUCUACAUAAAAGAUUAUAUUUGAUGGUUCCUAUCAUCUCUUAUUGUAUAUAAUAUUCAUAAAUCUUUAUAUAAUAUUUUUGCUAUUUUUAUAAUUUAAAUAAAACAUGUUUUAAUCAUUUAUUCUUUAGGAAAAAUUUAUAUAGGUUAUUCUAUCUUUUAAAGUGACAAUGAAUGUAUUGUCACUUUGGAGAUUUCAUAGAGCUUGUAAGACAAUGAGAGAUUCUUUUUGUAGACAACAGAAAUAAAAUUUCAUUAUUCAAUUAUUAGUUAUGAUUUAUUGUUAUUUGCAACGUUUGUGUUAUUAUUUUAGAGAUUACUUAAAACUUUAAAGAUCAUGAAUCAAAGUUUUUUUUUUUUAUAAAAUUUCAUUAUUGACCAUUAUUUUUUUAAUUUCUAUUUUAGUAAGAAUGUAAGAUUUGAUUCUUUUUUUAAUUAGAAUAUAUUUUAAUUUUAUUUUAAUAUUAGAAUAUUUUUAUAUAAAAGAAUAUUGUAAUGUAUUUUAAAAAUAUAAUAAUUUUCUAUUUUUUUAAAAAAUAAUAAUGUUUUCAUCUUUUUAAAAAAUAAUUUUUAAUACAGAACUAGAUUCGGAACUAAAAUCAAAAGCAAAGAGCCGCAGAAUUAUACCGAAUUUAUUUCUCUUAAGAACAAUAUUAAUUAACUAAAAAUUAACUAAAAUCAAUUUGGCCCAUGCAGGUUUCGAACCUGCGACCUUCGCGUUAUUAGCACGACGCUCUAACCAACUGAGCUAAUAGGCCUUUUUGAUAGAAAUUUUAUUACUAUAUAUAAAAUAUUAAAAUAUUAAAACAGUCUUUUCUUCCCCUUUUGUUUUUUUUUUUGGUGUCUCUUCAUCGUGGAUUUUAUCAUAUGGUGAUACCACAAUUUAUCUCCAAACUAUGGCCAUGUUUUUUUUUUUUUUUUUUUAUCUUUUAUUUACCAUAUAGCUGUGUUGAUUGACUUUUAUUCACAAAACGUUCUGUUAUUUAAUAACUAUUUAUUUUUUUAUCUUUUUAACCUUUUAUUAGACUUUUUUAUAGGAGACUUUAAUCUUGAUUUGUAGGUGUGGAUUUUUGAUCGAUAGAGCCUGGUAACGUGAUAUGUUCAUCCAUUAAUGUUAUUGACGCAUAGUGGUUGAAACUCAUUUAUAUUCUUCAUGUGCUACAAAUUAAUAAAAAAGUAAUCCAACUAAAAAGAUCUAAAGAAGUUAUUAUCUUUUUAAUUUUUAGUUUCUUUAUUCAAAAGAAUAUGAAUUCUUUUAUUUCGUUAAAAGAUCAACAAAUUUUAUUAGCGAUUAAUAGUAAAAUUCUAUGCCUGUCUAUACGAUUAUUUAUAAUUCUUAUAUUAUUUUUAAUGAAAUAUAUUUAUAGAAAACCUCUUCACAUAUAUAAAAAUAUUAUUAAAAGAAAUAAUUUUAAAGUUGGUGUUUGAAUUUGUCUCUUUUUAUUUUGAUCCCUCAAUGUUUGAAUGAGUAUUUUUUUCUAUUUAAAUACAUUUGCUGUAAUUUCUAAUCAAAAUAUUAAAAUAAGCUAUUUGUCGACAUAAUUGUUAAUUUUUUUCUCUUAAUUAUCUCUUAAAAUAUAUAUUUUCUCAUUUAUAUACAUGAAAAUUUUAAAAUUUUUCUAUCAAGCAGUAAAAAAAUAAAAUUUGAGAUGUUUUAACCAAAAAUGAGCUUAACCAUUUAAUAUAUAUCAAAAUUUGAUACUUUUAACAAUUACGUUUUAAAUCCAACUUAAUCCGUCGGCCACUUUAAUAGUAAACGUUAAUAAAAAUCGUACCUCAUUUUUAAAUUCGUCAAGGUUACGUAAUAAAAUAAUAUUAUAUUUGGGACCCACAUUCAUUACUCGGGUUACAUUAAUCAGCCCAUGGUUAAGUGAAACGGGAGUUUCACUCAACCAAACGCUAACCCAGAUUUUCAAUUUUUUUUUUUCAAUUUAAUUUAUAUUUAUAUUUUUUUUAAUUUUUCAUUUUAAAAGAAAUUUUUUUUAUCUAUAUUUAUAUAAAUCCACGUAUUUGUAUACUUAUAUCUAUACCUAUUUUUCUUUUUUCUUUUUUUUUUCUAAUUUUUAUUGCUCAUAAGUUAAUUUUCUUUUAAUUAGACACUAAUGAAGCUAGAACUAAUCUCAUAAUGAUGUUCUUUAUUUUUUUUUUCUAAUAAUUAAUAAAAGUAGUAGUGCGAUGUCGUUAAUAUUCUUUCAAAUAAUAAACUGUUUUAGUUUUUCUUUAGAUCUUUUAGUUUCUUUUUUUAAUAAUAAUAAAAUUAAUAAUAUGAUUAAUGUAUUAUUUCAAAGCAAUAAAUAAAAUAAUAUUAUUUUCAUUAAUUUUAAUUUCUUUAUUAAUAAAAAUUUUUUAUUAAUAUUUUCAAAUAAUAAAAAAUUAUAAUAAAACUGCAUAUUCACACAAUGCACAAGUGACAAGGACAUAACUAGUUGAAAAUAUAUGUCCAUUAUCAAUUAAUAAAAAUAAAAUUAAAACUAAAAAUAACAAAAUUCAAAAUACAAGUAUUAAUAAAUAAUAUGGUUAUUACUCAAUAAAAUAGUUUAAAUAUUUAAUGAUGGUUUUAAGCUGAGAAGGUCAUAUACUUCUUUUUGUCUCUAUUAGCGUUGACAUAGACAUUAUUUUGCCAACAGAAAAAUCAAUUCAUUAUGCAAAUGGAUCAAUAGUUUGAAGCUUCUUACCUUUACAAAACCAAAGCACCUGUUAUUCAAAGAACAGUUUUCUUAAAAAUAAAAAACUAGAAAAUAGAAAAUAAAAAAUACAUUCAUUUAUUAAUAAUAAAAUUAUAUUUUAAUUUAAAAACUUUAUAAAUAUUUCAGAACUUUCAUAAUCAAAAAAUAAAUUUAAAAAUUUUUUAUUUAAAAUAUAUAGGUACAUAAGUGGAACUCCGAUAGAACAAAUCAAAUCCUACACAAAUAAGAAAGAUAGAGUUCUCACUAAUUGAGAAUAUAGACUUCUAGCUCAUGUAGGACAUCCACUAAUUUCAUAACACUCUCCUUGGAUGUCCGUUCUUCAAAGAAUAUGUCUCGUUAAAACCUUACUAAGAAAAAAACCCUGGUGAAAAAAAAUUUUAGUGAAGGAAAAAAGAGCACAUCAUUCUUUUCUUAAAUACAGGUUGAAAUACCGUCUCAUUAAAAACUUUUAUAAGGAAAAUCCAGUUGGAAAAAAAUCUUAGUUAAAGGAAAAAAGAGUACCGUGCAUAUUUAUUUCCCCUCGUUAAGAUAAAUUUUGAGAUAUUUGAGUUUAUGCAUUCCAAUUUUGUGGAUAAAUUCUUCAAAACUCGAGGUAGAAAACUUAUAGUAGAAAGUAUUUUGAUGAGCAAAUCAACAAUAUCGUCGCUUGACUGGUUGAACUUUAAUAUAGAUAUUCUUUUUGAAGAUCAUGAAUGAAGAAAAAUUUUGGUGAAGUAUAUUUUUCUUACCUCCUUAAACAUGUCCACAUAAAAUAUUUUCUUCUUAUAAUAUUGUAAAAAUUUCUUUUUGGACAAAUAGAUUGCACGUACUCCACAUGUAAAUGUAAGUUGUUUGUAAUCUAACAUAAUAUGGAUUAGAUAAAUAAUGUGCAUUUUCAUAGCAUCAAAUCGGAUUUUGACAUGCUAGUUAUAAUAUAAAUUCAUAUCCGUCAUAUAACAUGGAGAUCUCAAAAUAUAUAUUUUACUCCAUUUAAUUUUUUUAUAUUCAAGAAGAACUAUAUCUUGCAAAUAAAAUUUAUAAAAUGCUAUGUAUCAAGUCAUAUGACAAACAAGAUACACUAACGUUUUUAUCGCAUUAAAAAAUGCUACUUCAGAACUAAUUAGUUCUUUAUAAUUUUUCAAAGUUCAAAUAUGGUCAUGUUCUCAGCAAGUGACUUCAUGAUCAUCGAUAUUCACAUUAAAUCAUUUUAAUAACUUAGUUAUAUGUGUGAAUUUAUAGACAAACUUCUAUGUAUAAAUUGCUCAAUUUUCAGGCCGAGAAAAAACUUUAUAUUCUCAAUAUUUUUCAUUUCAAACUCUUCCUUUGAGAAAUCUAUAAUCUUUAAAAGCUCUUAAAGGAGUUCAAUAAUGUACAUGAUCAAAUAAUAACAAAAUCAUAUUCAAAUAUCUCUAUAAAAAUUCAUGAACAUAUAAUAAUAAUAUAUAAUCAUAAUAUUUUUUCAACAAAUAUUUACUAUUCAAGAGCUCACUUUACUCAUAAUAGCCUAUAAAGUAAAUAUCAAAAGUAUGAAAAUAUAUGACUUUCAACAAAAGAAUAUUAUAAAUACAAUAUAAUAAUUAUAAAAUAACAUAAUAUUUUCUCAGCCAUAAAUAUUAUUAAGGUGAUUAUACCAUAUGUAUGGAGACAAUCCAUAUAAAAAUCUUGAAUAUAUUUCUCAGGGUCUCGAUUUUGCUUCAUUGAAGCAUUUUUCAAUACUUUAUGGAUAUCAUUAUCCACUAAUCCAUAUAGAGUUUGAAUAAUUUUUUGAAAAUUUAAUUUUAUGCAUCAAGUAACUAAAAUCCUUCAGGGAUUUUCAUAUAUAUCUACAUCAAGUGAGGAAGUGAGUCAUGUAAAUAGACAAUCACUAAUCAAGUGGACACAUUUCGAGUUUUUAUAAAUUGUCAAACUAAUCAAAUGUCAAAUUAUAAUUGCAUCCAGCAUAUAAGGAUAUUUUAUUCUCAUAAUCAAUGUCAGUUCUUUGCAAAAAACUUGUGCAACAAGUUUGCUUUAUUUCUCAUGACCCCAUUUCAAUUCCGCACAAAUACAUAUUUAUAUUCCACUGGCUUAACAUCUCUUGAUGUCCAGAAUAAAACUUCAAAAACUUUAAUUUUCAAGUAAAUUAUAUACCAUAUGCAUUCAUUCUAUUUUUUGGCCAAUCAAUUCUAUGUCUAUGUUCUGAAAUAGCCUAUGCUCAAGAUACUCAUCAUUUUUCACAGUUUCAAGCGCUAUAUUGUAUACAAAAUUAUUGUCAACAUUUAUUUUUAUGUCGGUUCAAACUUUAUUAAGACAUGAUUUAAUUUAUUGAGAUAUCAUUAUUUUCAAUAAUUUCAGGUACUUGAGUUUUUUCUAGAAACUUAUUAUUCAUGUCAAUAACUUCUUCCACAGUUUGUUCUUCUAGAGUUCAACGAUCUUGAAUAUUUGCUCAUUUUAUUUGAUUUUUAUCUUUGAAACUGAUCUACCACGCUUUAGGUGUGCCGUAGAUUCAUUAGUAUAGACAGUUUGUCAUUCAGGGACUUUAAUUCAAAUAAGAGUAUUUGCAGCUAGUAUGUGAGAUUAGUUAUUUCAUGUUGGAUUAGGAUAUAUCUGGCAAGUAAUUUACAAUGUUUUGUAGAUGAAUUAUUUUUUAAACUUUUAAAUUUAUAAUGCCUUGUAUGAGGAUCAAGAUAUAAUAACGAUAAUUCUUUUCCAAUUAAUUAUACUUUUAACUGUUUAUUUUCUUCCCUAAUGUUAGGAUUCAUAACAAUUAGCAACUUUGGCAUUCAAUAAAUGCCUCAUAAAAAAUAUUCUAGACAUUCAACCAUAGAGAGAAAUUUAUACCCUACUUAUUUUUCAACCUCCUUUGAGGACCAAUCUUAGUACGUUGUGGUGGAACAAUUAGAAUAUAUACUAUACAUUUAAAAAUUCAUCAAUGUGUAAUAUUUGGUUUUUAAUCCAAAACCAAUUACAAAGGGGAGAACAUAUAGUAACUUAUUGACACGAUGCGAGUAAAUGCUACUAUAUAUAAUAGCAUGUCCCUCUAUAAUAAUAGGGAGCUUUGUUCUCAUAAUAAUUGCCUUUGCAAUUCUAAUAAAGUGUGAUAGAUUUAAUAAAAAAGGUUGAAAGUGACCCAAAUGGUACAAGUAGGCAAUAAAUGCACUUCUUGGAACUACCUUUUGUGUGAGCUUUUUUUCCCAUAAUUAAUGAAGAAAUGAAGGAUAUUUUAGGGAGAAAACUUCAUUUACCUAACUUUUUAAUCGAAGAGUUUUUUCUGUUUUCUCUAAAUAAAGAGAACAAAAAGGAGUAUAUAUGAUCAAUAUUUGGUGAAAUUGAAUUCAGAAUUUAUGACAAAUAAACAAAAUAACUCUAAAUAUAAUUAAGGAUUGGUUCAUAAUAAAGGUUAUCUUUUAUAAAGUUAUGAAUAGUCUCGCAUGAUAAAUACUAAUACAAUUUAUAAAUACUUUGCCAAAUAUAAUAAUAAUAAUAGAUCCAAAAUAACAGAUCAAAUUAUUAUAACGGUCUCCCUUAAUUUAAAACAAUAUUUAGAACAAUAAUACCUACAUGUAAAAAAUCAAAAUUUUUAUUUUUCUUCAAUCACAGAUCUAUAAAAUUAUUAAUUAAUUCCACUAAUAAAUUAUUUGAUUAAAUAAUUAUAGCUUUAAGAAAGCGUAUAAAAUGUUACCUUCUUAAACAUUAAUAAAUUUGAAGACAUCAGUUUUAAUUUUGAUUGUUACAAACUAUAAGUUAUCCUCUUUUUUUUAAGCGAUCUGAUCAAAAGAUCUUUCUUUAAACAAUUUGCGAUUGCAUUUGCGAUUUGAUCAAGAGAGUGAUAUAUUUGAUCAAGAGAGUGAUAUAAUAAAAAAUGAUAGAACAAAAUCGUGCUGAUAACAUAUUAUAAAAUAAUAGAAAAAUAGAAAGAAGUAAAGAUAGAAUAGGGAGAAUACAAGGGUGUAAUUCUUAUUGAUAAAAAACCUAGAACCCUAAUAUAACAAAUAGAGUCCUACGAAAAUAAAAAAGAUAGAGUUCUGACUAAUUGGGAAUAUAAACUUGUAGUGAUAUAACACAUCCACUAAUUUCAUAACAUUUUCCAAUUUCCUCGAGUAAACAAACCCAAAAUUAUCUAAAAAUUAGAUUCACAUCAUCUCUCUACUAAAAUGGUGAAAAAGAUAUAUUUUUUCCUAAUUUGAGCCCAAAGAAUUAGGGAUUCAAACAAUAAUUUUGAUAAAGGAAGGUCAAAUUAAACUUUCUUUUCAAUUUUUUUUAACACUAAAAAUUGAAAAUUUUUUUAUAUAGGAGCAGGGCCCUUUUGGGCCAUAUGUGUGUCGGUCCCUGAAUGUGUUAUUGUAAUGUUCACUUGAAAGAUUGGCAACUAACCCCGAACACAAACACAAAGCUUUAGCUACCUCUCAUUCAAUCACUACUUACAAACAAAGCAAUAAUGACCUCUACUAUGUCUUGACACUUGGUUGGAGGGCCAUUAGCUCAUCCAACACAGCCUUAGCUUCAUGUUAUUGGUCCACCGAAUUUUCUACAUUUUGUUCCUGUCCACAAACGUGGAACUAUAUCACACAAUGAUCUCACCCCUCACAUUUUUCCUUUAGAUGAGGUGUGAUUUCCAAAAUUUAGUUUUUUUUAUUGAAAAUUAUCUUCGAAAAUAAAAUUCUAAGAAAAUAUUGUGAGAAGGUUGAAAAAUUAUCGUGUUUAAAUAAAUGUUAUUAUUAGCUGCUAUUUUGAAAGUAUUCUGUAAAAAUAGUUAUUUGAUUGGUUAUUAAAUUUAAAAUGAUAAAAAUAAGUAAAAGUAAAUUUAUAUUACAUGUAUAACUUGCUAAUUUGUAAAAAAAAGUAUUGGAUAUAAUAAGUGUAAAAUAUUAUCAUUAAUUAUCCCAUUUUAUUAUUUAUUAUCAUUUAAACUAGUCAAAAUGCUAAAAAUCUAACGAUAUAUAAAUGUGGAAAUAGGAGGAAUAAUGAGAUUUUCGAUGGCGCCCUUGAUGAAAUUUGAGUGUCCUAAAAUAACCUUAGUUAUAGCUAAUUAAAAAAAUUACAUUUUAUUAGUUGAUUUGAUAUAUUUAUAAAAAUUAUUUUUUAAGACAACAAUAUGUGGUCUGAUUGUCUUUUCACUUAUGUGAAGAGUAAGAGGUCUCAAAUUCGAGUCCUCUCGACCGCAAGUGUUUUCACUCAUUUGGUUAAUGUAGAAAAUGAUUAUUCUUUGUCGGGUAACCCACAGUGUUAUUUCGGCAUCAAGCAUUCUAAUGAAUCGAAAAAAAAAUUCUAUAAAUAAUUAAACAUUUCAAAAUUUUAAAUUUUAUUUUUAUUAAAUUUAGUUUUUAAUAAAUAUAUAUGAUAAUGAGACAUUUGAAAUUUUUUUAAUAUUUUAUUUAUUAAAUAUUUAAUUUCAUUUUGAUUAUAAUUGAAAAAAUUUUAUUUAUGGGAUAGAUAAAAAAAGAAAGAAAAUAUAUUCCUCUUAUUAAUAUUCUCUUUUUUUAUGUUUUUAUGAUUUGAUUGGAUAUAUUUUUUAAACAUAAAUUUUCAAAUAUAAUAUAUAUAAUAUUUUAUUUAGAAGAGAGAUGAAAAAAGAAGAAAAAAAGUAUAUUAUUUUUAUUAAAAUUUUUUUUUAUAUAUUUGUAAGAUUUGAUCGGAUAUAUUUUUUAAAAAGUAAAUUUUUAAAUAUAAUUCAUAUAAUUAAAUCUGAUAUGACAGACGAUUGAAAAUUUUAAUUUAAAUACAUAAAAAGUAGCACCGUAAGUAGUUGAUAUGGCAAAGUGUAAUACAAAUUAACAACUUGUAUUUAUUUCAGUCUAAAUAAAAUUUAUAUUUUAAUAUUAUAUAGAUAAAAAAAUAAAUAUAUAAUUAAUAUAAUCAACGUGUAACCCAUAUCAUAAAAAAAUAGUAGUUACUCUAAAAGUUGUAGAACUUGUUUUAUAAUAAUUAGGCUUAUUACUUUGUAAAGAAAGAAUAGAUAUGAGAUCCAAAAAUUAUCCAUUAAUUAAUUGAAAACACUAAAAAUGAGAUGAAAUAAUGUUUUACCAAACACUCCAUUAAUCUCUAAAUAUAAUUAUCUUACUAAAUCUUAUAAUUAAUAAGUAUAAUAUUUUGACCGGUUAAAAUAUUUAAAAUUAAAAUGGUUGCAAACUGUAGUAAAUCCUCUUAAUAAUAAAAAAGAAAAAUAGCUGGGCCCCAUACGAGGCACAAUGCUGACGGCUGACCAUUGAGAAAUGUAGUAAAUUGAGGGUGCAACUUCUAGAAGCAUGAAGUCUGGAAUCAUGACGAUUCAUGCACGCAAAGGCAAAGCUGACAAUUUUUUAUUCUUAAAAUUAAUUAUUUCAGAGCAAAAUUAAUGGUGGGCCUCCAUCCCACCAACAAAUUUUCAUACGGACUAACAAAUGCUAGUAAUAAUUUACUAAUUUCUUAAUAAAUUCCAUGUAAUAAAUUACAAAGUAUUAGAUAUUAUUUAUUUACAUAUUAAGAUUGUGUUCGACAAUAACUUUUAAGUAGUCAAAAUGCUAAAUAUUAUUUUUUAUAGUUUUCUGUAAGAUAGUAUUUUAACGUGACUUUUAGAGAUUAACGUAGCUUAUUAUAAAAAGUUAAUCCAUAUAAGAUUAGCUUUUAGCAUUUUAUACAAAACUAUUCAAACAACUAGGAGUAAAAUGCUACUAAAACAGCUAACAACAAUCAAAAUGAUUAAUGUUGUCAAACAUGUACUAAUAGCAGAAGUAGAAAUUGAAUUUGAGACCCUUAAUCAUAAGCUAUUAGGUCUAAGUUAACCAUUUUAACUGCUUAUAUAACAAUUAAUAUUUUAUUUUUUCAAAGUUAUAAUAAAACGUUCCUAUGUGCUUUUGUUUGAUUUUAAUUAAUAAAAGUAACAAAUUUCAUAAACUCUAGAUUUUAUUUGGAAAGGAAAGAAAAUAAAAUAUUGGAGGAAGAAAAUAAUGGAAUUAUUUGCACAUAAAAAAAUGUAAUUUUCUCAAUUUACUUGUGUUUUUUUUCUCAUAUUUGGAGAGAUUUUAAUUUUGCAAGCUAGAAGGAAAUAUAGUAUAUAUUUUUCUUCCUCAAUAUUUUUCUCUCCCUUUUUAAAUAAAAGAAAAUUUUUUUCUUAAAUAUUUUUUGACAUUUUUUUUCUUUCAAAAAAAAAAAUCGUCUUUUCAAAUAAAGGAUUAAAGAUUAAAUACUUAAUGGUAACUUUUUUUUAACGAAAGAAUUAUUAGUUCCCAAAAAAAAUAAAAGGGUGAUGUUUGACAUUCAACAAAAGAAUCCAUACCAAAAUAUUUAAGGGAGAAUUACUAUUUAGUUAUUUCAUUAUGAUCAAAUACACUAUUCAGUUCAUACUUUUUUUAAAAUAUACGAUUACGUCCCAAAGUUUUAAUCCUAUCAUACAUUUCAAUUGUUCCGUCCAUUUUUAGUGUAUUUAGUCGUGAGUCAAAGUAAAAAAAAAAGUCAAAUACAUGAGAAAACAUUUAAAUGUCAAAACUAACGCUAUACACACAAGUAAAAAUGACCUACCAAUUUCAAACAACUUAACUUUCCUAUUCAUUACCAGUGAUAUUGAUGAUUCUAAUGUAGACAACAAUAAAUCUAAGCAAAAUCCGAAUUGCUAACUAUCAAACACCUACAUUACCAUUAUAGUUGGAUAAAUGAGGGUUGUCUUUUAAUUUAAUGGUAAGACUAUAAUCCUUCUGCAUUUGAAUUUCCUACUAAAUCGUCUGAUUAUAAUAUAUUUAUACUUGGUGGCUGAACAACAUUCAUUUUGCUAUAUCCAUUAACAAAUUUGAUGUAUUUAGAAUCUCUUCCUUGUCAAUAAAUGUUUGACUUGAUUCAAUAUGGUUAAUGCUGAAAGACAAUAUGCCUUUUAUUUUAAAGCGAUUGAUAUCUGAAUUUAACCUAGCUUGGUUGCUUGGCCAUCGUGCACUAGCAGUAGUGUCUGGUACAUCACUAGCUUAUAUUGAAGUUGGUAUUAAAUAAGAUAAAAUAAACUUAAAAGUUUAGGGUUGCGAAGGGAUAUUUAAAUGAUAGAGCAGCGACGCCGUAACCAGCAACUGUUGUUUCAAGAACAUGAUACUACAUACUCAAUCAUAUAUGAAUGGUUUUACGUGGCUUCUAAAUCUUAGAUGCUCAUUUCUCACUCUUAUUGUAAAUUUUCGGUAAGUCAAAUGCCUUUCAAUGGAGGAAAAUCCAAUAAUAUUGCCCUGGGAAGGUCGAUGUUUGAGAUUUUUUGAUGGAGGAAAAACUUUUUGCUAAUGGUUUUUUAGUAGGGUAUUUUUGUCUUUUAUUACCAUUUAACGACUAAACACAAAAAAUGGACGGAAGGACUGAAGUGUCCAAUGAAAUUAAAAUUUAGGGACUAAUCAUGUAUUUUAAAAAAAGCAAGGACUGAUUAGUGUGUUUGACCAUAUUAAACGGACUAAAUAGUAAUUCUCCCAAUAUUAAUAUAUAAAUAAAAUACUAAUAAUAAAUAAAUAAAUUAUUAUAAACGUAAACUAGCGUUAGAAAGGGACCUAACCCCCAACAGAAAACUACCUACCACCGUUUCCCUCGUCUUUACUUUCUCUCUGUACUUUAAUGUCUUUAAAAAUUUCAAAAUAAAUAAUAAAUAACAAUAAAACAUUCACCCACCAAACCAAAAAAAAAAAAAAAAAGGCGCUUAGUUUGCACCUCCUUCACGUUGUCUAAACCUUCUCUUCUUCCUCUUUCUUUCAAUCUAACCCCAGAUAUCUACAUUGUCGUCGAACCAUUCUUAAAAGUCCUGCAAGUCAAGGGUUUCUUUCUAUUAUCAGAAACCCUAGAUUUUCUCAUCUACCUUCCCUUCAAUUCAGGUCCGCACGCUUCUCUUUCCUUUGACUUUUCUUUUUUGUCCUUUCAACUCUAUGCAUUUUCUCUGUUUGGUUCCCGAGAAACGGGAGAAAGAUAAAAUAAAUAAGGAGAAAGGAAAGUUUAAAAAAUUUCAAUUUUUUGUUAGGUAUUAGUUGAAUUUGAAUUCUCUGAUUUAUUGAUUGGUUGAUUAUGGCUUCAAAGGAAUUAAAGAGAAGUGAAUGUUAAUUUUUUUGUUUUGUUUUUUUUUUUUUUUUUUUGGAUUUAUUGGCAGAUAAAUAGUGUCAGUAUAUGUGGUUUGUUUGUUUGAAUUUGCAUUGAGUUAUGUGCUAAAGUUUUGGUUUGCUGAGUGCAAUUUUGGAUUUGAUUAAUUUUUGUUCUCUAAUUGGAGUUCAAGUACAUCAAAUUUUUGCAAGCAGGUGACGGAAGCUGCUUAAGUUUCUCCUUAUUACUUAUACUAGAUAUAUAUAUAUAUUUUUUCUCUUUUUUGCCAAGUUGCUUGCAUGGCUUUUCCGAAAUUUACCCCCUUUGUUCUUGGGGUUCAUUGUUUGCAACAGUUAUGAAUUAUUGUCGUUUAAGCAUGCUUAGUUGCUGCAAAUGUAGGAAAAAAGAAGAGGGGUUUUGGAAAUAUUGACAAUGAAUAAUGCAAUCAUUAACAAUGGUAAAUGUGAGAAUUUGGUGAAAACUACUCACACUUGCAUUCUUGAUAGUUUCAAAAUGUAUUACUACCUCCUUUCCUUUAAUUUUGAAACUUUUUGUUGUUUUUCCUACUCAGAUGACAUUUUUAGAAAAUCAAGGUAGUAGUAAUAACAACUUUAAGCUUGUCUAGAUAUCUCCAUCAAACUUUGUCUCUCUUAAUUACCAACGAUUAAUUGAAGGGUAACUUAGUCAAUCGACCUUAUUUUUUCUACAAUUGAGGUGAUUAAAUCAUUUUUUUCUUAAUUCUUAGUGAAAGUCAAAAAAUUCCAAAUUUAACAGAAUGAAGGUAGUAUACUCUAUUGAGUUCAUGUUUAUGUUUUUGGUUCUUAAGCAAUGGAAUUUGUUUAAUUUUUGAAUAUUGUAAAAAGCAUUAUGCUUUACACUUCUUCAAUUUCAUUUUCCAUUUAUAGACAAACUAUCGUUUUGAAAAUUUUGGAUUUGCACGCGUCGUAGGUUUUGUGUUGGAUAAAUCUGCUUUGCGUUAUAUCUGGUCAAAGUCUCUUAUAAUUUGUCCUAUUCUCUUUCUGACAUUGCAAAUCUUUCAGAAUUUGUUAAUUAUCGUUUCAGACUUUUUUUCUUCUACUGCAAAGUCAAGUGAAAUUUCUGUUAUUGACUGAAGCUACAAAUAAAAGAUUUCGAUAAGCAUGUCUAACAAGCAUUACAUUGUUUUGUUCCUUGUUCCCAGUUCCAAUUUCUGAACCUACAGCAAUGUCAAGUGUGGAAGAGCCACUUGGUCUUGACAAGUUGCCUAGCAUGAGUACCAUUGACAGGAUCCAAAGAUUCUCAUCAGGUGCUUGCCGGCCUAGUGCAGAUGAUGUGGGAAUGGGAAAUUUCUGGAUUGAGGGAAGGAGUUGCAGCUCAUCCAACAGUUGCGAGUAAGUGGGCAUCAAUAAGAAGAUGUAGAGACUAAAGAUUAAUGGACUGGCACUGCCAUCAUAGCCUUCAUGAACUAUAGUCAUUGCUAUUAUAAUUGUUGCUGAACCAUUAGAGCCCACCACCCAAAUGGACAUAAAGAAUAUGUACUUUUUUUCCUUUCUUUUUUUUACUUUUUUUAUUUUUUUCAAAUAGCAAAAUCAAACACCGUAAUAUUUACCAAACAUUUAUGCAAAAGCUGAAAAUGUUAAAUUAGUGUUAAAAAACAUAUCGCAUUGUAUCUGAGUUUUUCUGCUCCAUUAUUUUAGGGUCAUUGUUGUUCCUCAACAUCAUAUAACCUGUACAUAAGUAUAGCUAUUAGAUAUUUGCGCUAUCAAAUCAUUAGUGUCAUCUUGAGUACCAUACUUAAGCCUCCAUUCAUAUGCAGGGAUAAUUAUGAGGAGUAUACUAGAGAGACUUUUCCUUGGAAGAGACAUACAAGGGAUCUGUGCCAAGGUGACUCCUUUAAUCGAAGGACCAUGAGCUUAGGCAGGAAUCAUGUAGCGCGUGGAACAGGUCAGGAUUCACGGUGCUUGCCAAAUCGUCAAUAUAACUCCAAGUCCAAGUCCAAUGACAAAGACAUGCGGAAUUUAACAAAUAAGGUGAUUCAAUAACUGAUGUAGAGUUUAAUUUUUUUUUUUUUUUUUGAGAUCAUAGAUCAUAUUGAUAAUUUUCUAUCAUUCAACAAAUGAAAUUCUCUAGUCCUGCAUGAUUGCAGUUGUCCUCUGUUUCAUCAUUUAAGCUGUAGUUCAAAUACUUUAUUUUACCACUUGUUCAACUUAACUUAUUUGAAUUGUGAACUUCUAUCUGCAAUUUGGACAAAGCAGUUUUUGAAAGGAAUACCAAAUUUUGUGAAGAUAGUCGAAGUUGGUCCAAGAGAUGGACUACAGAAUGAGAAAAAUAUUGUACCUACAGAUGUAAAAAUUGAAUUGAUUCACAGACUGGUCUCUUCUGGGUUGCCAGUUGUUGAAGCUACAAGUUUUGUAUCACCUAAAUGGGUUCCUCAGGUAAUUUAUUUUAAUUGUAUAUGUCCUCAUUUUCGCAUGAAAUUAUCUUCUUGUUUAUCUUACUCUACUAAUGCUUUAUAAAUCUGAUAUUUUUGGGAAUAAUUUAAGACAACUCAAUUUUAGUCCUCAAAUCAGAUUUGUACGUAUGCACAUGGUUUUAUUUAUCAAUACACAAUUUACACCGAGUAAUCAGCUUCUUUUUAAAUUCAAUAUUUUCUUGCAAGGAGAUGAAAAUGUGUCUUUGGUCGCUUCUUUCGUACCAGGCUAUGAUAGUUCUUGGUUAUCUGAGUUUAUUUAGUUAUUUUCACAAACUUGUACGUUGUCUUUUGUUAUUUUUAUCAUUACUCAUCAUUGAACACAAACCAAGAAAAUUGUAAUCGAAAAUUUGCACCUUUAAGAUUGUACUAAAAAUUACCUGACUCAAGAUUAUGGGAAAUUACCUUUCUUAAUCUUUGACUCAGCUCUAGGCGCAUCAUUCCAUUCUUUCCAGACACCAGUUACGAAUCUGCUACUCUUAUUUUUUUCAACAUCCGUUCACAAACAAGCAAGCCAGCCAGUCUUCUUUGUGGUUGGAGUUGCUCAUUCACAAUCUUUUUCUCUUUGUUUCAUCUGUGAGUAUUACUACAGAGAGUAGCAGAGUGCUAAGUGCAAAUGACAGCAUUUAGUAUAACUUGUGAUCUGCAUAAUGUCUGAGAGCAUGAAAGAUAAUGACAUUAAUGCUUAACAAAUGCUCAUGUAUGUAAGAAAUUGAUAGUUUUAUAUUUUUAUUCCCAUGUUCUUCCCGUGUCAAAUGAGCUUCUCUUAAAAUUCUUCUUUUUAUGGUUCUCUGUUUAGUCAUAUAUUUUGGAGAUUAGUCGUGGCCUCUCUAUACCCUAUUCCUUUUGUAUGCUUUCUGUGGCCUCUUGGUUUUCUUCAUUUCCAGUUCUUAUAGUCUAUUUAUGAAUGGUAACACUUUUGACGAAACUAACUAUUGUGCUUACCACCGUGUGUUAUCCUGCUUGAGUUAUAUUUGCUAGUUAUCUAUGUUUUUCUUCAGUGAAAGUUCUGGUGUUUCUGUUUGGGGCACAUUAAGCUGAACUAGUGUUAUGACUUAGGACUUUGUAAAAUGCGUUUCUGAAAAUAAAGAAGUGGAACUGAUUAUCCCUUCAGUCAAGAAAAUCUAUUGAGCUCAGAUGGAAUUUUGCUUUGGUUGAACUAAAGCUACUACUCUCUUUGUGUCUUUGCAUCUCUAUCUCUCUCUCUCUCUCUCUCGCUUGCUCUCUCUAUACUUUAAAUAACUUUUUUGCUGAUUUAGAUAUACUACAAAGAGGAAUAAAAGUAUUGGUAUUAAUUUGAUUCUCUGAAAAGAUUUUAUAUGUGCAUUAGAAAGUUAGAAUUGCUUCUUGUCUGGAUUCUCGUGUAGGAUUUUAGCAUAUGACAUAAUUACUAAUUCUAGUAAUUUAUUUUCAACCUGAUAUUUAACAUGUUGGUUUUAGGUCUCAAUUCUUAUUUUCAGAUUUUCAAUUAAUGUUGGUGUUGGAUCUUCAAAUGUGAAGCACUCAGAUAUUGCUAGCAUAUGAUAAAACUUGAGUUCAAUUCUAUCUUACGUAAUUUUCUCUUAUGUGUAACAAUAAUAUGUAGUAUUGACAGGAAAAAAGAUAUGAUUCUGCAUUUUCUUAGUUUUCUGAUAUCCAUUUUAUUUUUAUUAAUAAAGAGCUUUUACAUGAUUGGUGUUGGCACCUAUAUCUGAUUGGUGAAGCUCAAGCAAUAGUUUUACCCAAGCCUAUCUUGGGGAGAGGAACCUAUUAACAAAAAAUUUACUAGAUUUAAUAAAUUAAUUUUGUGCUUCUUUAUUUUGUAGGAUGAUUUUAUAUAUUCUGUUUCUGCACACAAGAAUGUAACUUUGUAGGAACAUCCGGUUUUUGAUUAAUAGAUAUUAUUUCGGUUUUCAGAAUCUAGAGUUCCAUAUUAGCUGAUACCAGAGCUGACUCUUAUCACAUGCCCAUCUCACCAUUGUUUGUAGAUAUCAUCAUUAGGUCAAUGACAGUACCAACCAAAAUACCUAUCACUACUACCAAAACUGCUGUUAAAACUGAAUCAUAGGUCUUCCAGUACAACAAAAAUGGGUAAAAAAGGAAGAGCAAAACCUCGACGCACAGGCAGGAUGUCUACUGUCAAGGGUAAAAGAUCUUAAGCCAAUGAAAAGAGAGUUCUAUGUCUCAAGAGUUAGAAUUAUUCCUUGAUUCCAAAAAUUCCAAAUCAAACAUGAUAGAGCCAAGCCACAUGCUUCAAUUUUUGUGUCCCUUGAAUGUUCCUAUCCAACUAAUACGCUCUUUUUCAUAAACCAGUUCUUGGAUGGCCUCUCUCUUGAGACAUGCACAUUUUCUUUUCUUUUUCCCCUGUCUACCUUUUAUGUUCUGGUGAUGCUUGUGGAGAAUCUUCCAUGGAGUUCCUUGUGGAUGCGUAAUAUCCUUUUCUGAUAGGAAAUGAUAGACCAGAGGUGGAAUUAUUGAGGGAAAAUCAGAACAAAGACUUAAAAGGAGAGAGUGAAGGGGGUGAGAGAAAGAAUAUUAGGCUUGAGGGUGAGAGUAUUUAUUUGUCAAAUUUUGAAACUCUAUAAUGGCGAUUACCUAAAUUUUAGAUGGUUUGGACUAUAUGCUCAUAAAUAGAAUGAACAAUUUUUUUUUUUAAUAUGUAAUUGCUGAUUGAAGCACAAAAGCCAUCUACUUCUCUCUCUCUCUCUCUCUCUCUCUCUCUCUAUGAUGUUACUUCUUGUUUAUUAUUUUCAAAUUGGAUAUUAGUGAAUUCUUUUCCAUUGUAAGAUCAUUCAGGAUUAAUUGACUUGGACCUUUAUGAACUUGUUUUCAUCAUAAAUUGUAUAUAAAUAGAUGACUUUUCUUUUUUCAUUUUGUUUUUGACCUUCCCACCCCCUUUUUGACUUUGUUUUUGGUGACCUUAAACAGUUAGCAGAUGCAAGGGAUGUGAUGGAAGCAGUUCAAAAUUUGGAGGGCUCUAGAUUGCCUGUUCUGACACCUAAUCUAAAAGUUAGUAUUCCUGGUGCAUAUGCAAAGCUAUCUAACAAUGUAUAGUGGUCUAAUAGGAAUAUUUUAUGUCUGCUAAAUUGUUUGCUAGGGCUUUGAAGCAGCUGUUGCAGCUGGUGCUAAGGAAGUAGCCAUUUUUGCAUCAGCUUCUGAGUCAUUUUCAAAGUCAAACAUCAAUUGUAGCAUUGAAGAGAGUCUUGCUCGUUAUCGUGCUGUCACUAAUGCUGCUAAAGAGCGUGGAAUUCCUGUUCGUGGGUAUGUCUUCUUUUCCCUCUUGCCACGGUUCUCUCUCUUUCUUCCGCCUCUCUAUCUUGAAAUUUUUUGGGAGAUCAUAUCUUUUUGCUUCAUCUUCAUUAACCAGAUGUUGAUGAAAUCCUUCUGAUUGACAAACAUUAGAAAAUAUGGCCAAUUAUUAAGUUUUUAUCCAUCAGUUGUUAUGGUAUCAAGUUUGUCAGAGAAAAUGAAUGUCAUAACAAUUUGUGAUAGUAUUCUAUUACAUAUUUUUCACAGCAGGAUUUGUUUGUGAAUUAUCUGCUGCCAGAUUCAUCUCAGCCAAUUUUUUACAAGGAGCGCCUUACAUGCCAAGCGUGUUUCUAAGAGCUUGUAUGGAAUUAUGGGGAAUUCGUUUUCAAAUCUGUGCUGAACAUGAUUUUAAUCUCAAAACUUCACUUGGAAUUUAAUUUAUUUAUCUUUUAAUUGGUUAUUCUUAAAGCCUAAUUCUAAUACAGUUGAUAGCAUUUGCAAAGGGAUACCUAAAAAGAAUACAUAAAUUUUUUAUAUUUUUCUACAAUGACUGAAUAUUUAAAAUGAAUUCUUUCUUAAAAUGGAAGAUAUCAAACCUUCAAAUUGUUUACAGAAAGCUUUUUAUGAAAUGCAGUUAAAUAAAAUGAAAUCCAUUUCAGUUACUUGCAUUGCAUAAAUAUUAAUAUAUGUUUUAGUAGCUUAAAAAUUGAUCUUCUCAUCAAAGUUUAAAGUUGUCAAGUUUGUUUAGACUUGUAAAAUUGUCACACGGAUUUCUGCAACAAAUUGCUUUCGUGUAAUUUGGUAUGGUUGCUAGACUAGUUGAACCAUAGUAAACCAAAUUGUAAUUAUGCUCAUUAAAGGCUGGAUCCUUCAUUUUAUGGCACACUUGCUUCAGUUGCUGUAUGUGUGGACUUGUUUUUUGAUGCUUUUGUUGAAAACAAAUACCUUUUGAAUCUGCUUUUAAUUGAUUUUUUGAAUACUUUGAUAGGUAUGUAUCAUGCGUUGUUGGAUGUCCUGUGGAAGGAGCAAUUUCUCUCUCAAAAGUGGCAUAUGUGGCAAAAGAACUUUAUGACAUGGGUUGCUUUGAAAUUUCUCUUGGUGAUACAAUUGGUGUUGGUACACCUGGUAAUAAUUUAAACUGAAUUUUGUUUGAACUUACAAUCUCACACAUACUCAUGUAUAAGUUCUCAGUUAUAUUGUUAAUACUUCCAUUAUUUGUCUGUAAAUUCUCUGUAUGUUCUUGCUGUUUCAGCUCUUUCAUCUUAAUCAUAAGUAAUUUUUUCCCUGGAACUCUCACAAUGAAAUAUAUGUUUUGCAUUUUAUGGCAUUACUCUAUUUAACAAUUCAAGUUCUUCUGCAAGAAUUUAGCAAUUUCGUGGUUUUUUCAAUUUUAUUUUCAACUUCUCGUGUAUUGCAAACAUUUAUUUACUUUUCUUUUACUUUUCCAUCUGGGCAUCUUUUGUAGUACUUUUCCUUUUUUUUUUUUUUUCAAUAUUUUGUGGUACAUUUAACUUUGGCUAUUAUCUGCAAGUAAUUAGAAAUUAAAUACAUGUUUACUGAGAGCUUAUGAUGGAGUGAACAAUUGCCUUUCUUCAAAACUAGAACAAUUUGAAUUACCAUGUUGAGGAACUUAUAAUUCUUUUUAGUACUUUUCAAAUAUUACUUCCUGCUAGUUCUUAGAUCAAUUUUGGUCUUGUAAUUACCAUUUCAUUUACCUUAAUACUUUUUGUUUGAUCAGGGACUGUCGUUCCAAUGCUCGAAGCUGUAAUGGCUGUUGUUCCUGCUGAGAAGCUUGCUGUUCAUUUCCAUGAUACUUAUGGACAAUCUCUUCCAAAUAUUUUAAUCUCUCUCCAGGUAUUGAUUGGAUAUUGACUAUGUAGGCUGGUUAAGAACUGCAUGACAUUUACUCAGCUUUUCUCCGGAACUGUAUCUAAUAGCAACACCUAUCUUCUGCAAUAUGUGUGCUUAGAGUUUAAACAAGCUGAGAUGAGCUUGAACCUGCCAGGCUUGAAGCUCGGUAUGAUAGAAUUUAGCUCGGCUCGAAACUCGACGAGCCUGAAAAUUUCAGGCUUGAGUUCAAUUUGAAAAAAUUUAGGCUUGAGCUCAGCUCAAGACUUGAGUAAGUCUAAUGUAAAUGUUUUAUAUAUGUAUAUAUAAAAGUUCGAUAAGGCUUGGCGAGCUUUCAAGCUACACAUCAUUAAGCUCGAGCUCGAGCUCGAUUCAGGCUGAAUUUUUUUGAACUUUUUUUGAGCUGAGCUCGAACAGCUCGUGAGCCGACUAGGCUCAUUUACACCCCUAUGUGUGCUUACUUUGCUCUGGCUUAUGUUUUUUUAUUUUUAUGCAAUGGUAGAUAGUUCCAUAUGACUGAAAUUUUUAAAAGGUUUAGGAGGAACGUGGAGGGUGUAAACUCCUUACAUCUUGUAAUAUGAGGCUAAUACUCCACUAUUGGGCUGGUAGUCUAAUGUAAUGGCACCCAUUAGUGAUUAAAUGCCGAGUUCCCAGAAUGGAGUAAAUCGUAGCUGAAGAUCUCAUAUUUCCUAUACUAAUUGUUUUUAAUUAUUCUCUAUAUGGAGUAAAUCGUAGCGAAAGAUCUCAUAUUUCCUAUACUAAUUGUUUUUAAUUGUUCUCUAUUGGCUGAUCCAAAUCAAUCUCAAGAAACUAUAUUUUAUGUUUUAACAGAUGGGUAUUAGCACAGUGGACUCAUCUGUUGCUGGUUUAGGUGGGUGCCCAUAUGCUAAGGGUGCAUCAGGCAAUGUAGCCACUGAAGAUGUAGUCUACAUGCUUAAUGGGCUUGGUGUGAAGACUAAUGUGGAUCUACCAAAACUCCUCUCUGCUGGGGAUUUCAUAAGCAAGUACUUGGGCCGCCAGUCUGGAUCAAAGACCGCUGUUGCUUUGAGCCGGGUUACGGCUGAUGCCUCAAAGAUAUGAGAGAGUUUGCUGGUAGAUAUAUCUAUAUCAAAAUACCCUUAUGAACAAGGAAACAGUGGAUUGGUUCCUACAAUCCAUUCUCCUAACAAGUAUGAUAUAUAUAUAUGUACGCACACGAAUGUAGGUAGGAAUAAGAAAAUGCAGAGCAUGUAUCCUGUAAUUAUGAUUUCGGUGACAAACUAGUCAUUGUACUAGAAUGUGUGCUUUUUGAAGCAGAAGCAGCAUACUGUGCUGAAUAAAAAGAAAAGAAAAGAAAAAGAAAAAGAAACAGAAGUUUCUACUUUCUCUUAAUUUUUGCAUAGCAAAGGUAGAAGGGUUUCGGCUACCUUGAACAAAUGGAGAACCUGAUAAACUUGGGUACUGAAAUUAAAUUUUUGUUCAUUUAGAAGCAUUAAGCUCCAUAUUAAGAAUUAGGAGGUGGAUGAACCAUAAUAUUUUGACAGUCGAUCCAUCCCCUAUUCUCCACCAAACUUGAAUCAAACUUCUCCACAUGUAGCUGCCCUCCUUUUUACUUUAGCUUCAAUAAAAGAUGACUUAGGAUAGUUCUUAGCUUGAAGCAUCCUGGCAUACCUCAACCCUCCUUCAAACUUAUAAAAGCUCGUUUUACCCCAAGAGAUCCAAUGAAUUUUUCUUUUAUCAGAAUUUUGUCCCCACCAAAAUAUUGCCAUAAGAGCCCCAAUUUUUUUUGCAGACAUCUACUGGAGGAAAAAAAAAAAAAAAAAAAAGAUAAGACAGUGUGUAAUUCAGGAUAGCCUUGUGUUACAGUCUUCAGAAGGAUUUCUUUCUGCCUUGGAAAGUGUUUAUUUAUUUCUUUCCACCCUUCCAAUUUCUGAGCCACACUGAAACCAAUUUCAAUUUCAAUUUAAAAUAUGAAAUCAUUAAAAAUAAUUUAAUUUUGAAUUUGACCUGUUCGAAACUGAACCGUAGUCUAUUGGCUUGCAUUUCUAAUUAGAAACAAACUCUAAAAUUGAUAUUUUGUAACACUAUGAUUUGGAAUGAGAUUGCUGAACAAAUUAACAGGGCUCAUGCAUGGGGACAAGGUGUCAAAGUUUAUGGAAGUAGUUGAGAUCUCAAUGAUGACAGAGCACCACGACUUUGACCACCAAAAAAUAAAUAAGGUGAACAAAAAGUAGAAAGAAAGAAAAAAAGAAAGAAAGCCCCCCUAAUUGCUUGCCCACCAACAUAUAUUUAUUUUCUCCAACUUAAUGAUGCCCAAUGUACUCGAAGUCGCAUUUUCUGAUUCCCUUCUUUUUUGGAAUUAAUAUUUUAGUCCCUUAAAUUUGACUGGAAUUAUUAAUUUAUCCCCAUUAUUUGAUAAAUUCACUUAUUCAUCCCUAAGAUUUAACCUUAUUAAGUUAUUUAAUCCUCAUCUAUUAAGUACGAUCAAAAUAGUAAAUUUAAUGGAUUACAUAGUAAAAUUAAAAUUAAAUAUAAAACAUCAAAUAGUAUAAAAUUAAAAUUAAAUGUAAAAGACCAAAUAUCGAAUAUCAUAAGAUAUGUAGUGAUAAAAAAUGAUACUGUGAUAAAUGAGAUUAAAUCGGUAAUUUAACUCUCCUUGCCACGUUGGACAACUUACAUUGAUUAAUAGUCAUGUUAUGUAAGCGAACGCGUAGGUAAAUAUGAGCCGCACUUUGUCCUAUUAGACAAUUUGGCUGAACAUUUCAUCAAGAGACAUCAAAUUAAAAAAUUAUAAAUUCAUACACUCAAUUGUAAUUAUUUUCCGUUCAGACGACAAAAUAGAAAAUAAAAAAAGAAAUUUAGACACUAAAAGUAACAUUAUCCCUGUACAUAUUGGACUUUUUAGACUACUUGUCUAAAAUUGAACAGUGGGAAGGAAAUGUAUCUUUAUUCUGUACAAUUGAUAUAGCUUAACAUUAAAAAACAUGUCGAUGACCUAUUGUUCAAGCUAAAGCUAAAAAAAGACAUUCCUUUCCUUUAGAACCAAGCAUGGCACUCCACAGUAAAGUACCAACAUAAAGUUGGUUUUGUAGCCUUCAAUUGAUAUUCUCUCCUUUGAUACAUCAAAAUUAAUUAUUGGAUUUUUAGUUACUUUGUAGCUACUUGUAUUUAUAGAUUUACUAGAAAUUCAUUUCAGUUAUUUGCUUUCUUUUGAUAAGAAGUAUAAAGGAGUUAAGAGCUCGUGAUUUAUUUAAAAUUUGAUUCUAAAAAAAUUUGUUCGAAGUUUAUUAAAUUAAAUGAGCCAAUUUGAAGCUCAAUUUUCAAACUCUUUUAAUAAACGCGUUAAGUAUUAAGUAUUAAGUUUAAGUAAAGUAAAAUAAUGUGACUCGUUUUUAAAAUUCAGGUAGUUAUGUUCAUACCAUUUAUUCCUAUAAUUCACAACUUAAUACUUAAUAAUUUUGUGAUCAUGUGAAAAAUAAAAAUAAUAGAUAAACAUUUCUUAUUAACAGAUAGGGGUUGGAAAAAAGAUGUCUCUUCAUCUUUAUAAUCACAAACUGACAUUUACAAAUUGGUAAUAGGAUUUGGGUUGGAGGAAGAGGUGGAUUUUGGAGAAGUAUAAUUUCCAACUUUGAAUGAUUAAGUUGACAAUGAAAAUGACUGGAUUGGGAUUUGGAACGAGUAUGUCAUUCUGUCAAUUUUUUAUUUCUUUUUUCGUCAAUAUAUAAAUUACUAUUCUAUCCAUAUAUUUUGUCAAAAUUAACUAAUAAAUGCUUGUACUUAUUGGCUAUUUUAUUCGUUCAUUUUGCUUAUAUUAAUUAAUAUAUCCCUGUAUUUUACGAAAAAGUACAAAAACAGAAAAUAAACAAGCAAAAAUCCUAUUUUUUAAUUUCAAAUCAUUAUUUAUCCAAUUGAAUGAAAUAAGAUUUUCAAAAUAAGAAAUAAACAAGCCAUGGAUAAAAAGGAUAAAAUUAUAUAUUUUGACAAAUAAAAAAGUAAUUUUUCAAAAAAAAAAAAAAAUCACUACAAGAAUUGCAGAAUUACCGACAAUAUUAUAAUAUUCAAAGAAGAAAUCACAUUUUAGCAAAUUAAAAAAUCAAACAUUGAAAAUAAUUUAUAAAAGUAGGACCUAUUUAGUGGUUUAUGAUGUAGAAAAUGUUAAAAGUUACCGACAAUAUUAUAAUAUUCAAAGAAGAAAUCACAUUUUAGCAAAUUAAAAAAUCAAACAUUGAAAAUAAUUUAUAAAAGUAGGACCUAUUUAGUGGUUUAUGAUGUAGAAAAUGUUAAAAGUAUAAUCAUGAGUAUACGGACUUAGAAUUACUUCUUGAAAUUGAAAUGGUAAUUAGUAAUAAAGGUGAGAUAUUUGAAUAUUUAAUUCUUGUUCAACAACAUUAUCAUACUGUCCCUAUAAAAAUAUAUUAAUCAUAAAUUUUCAAAGGAAUAAUAUUUUGAAGGUAUGUCAAAUUGAAUUUACGGCUUUUUGUCAUUAUAUAUAACAAUAACAAUAACAAUAACAAUAGUAAUUAAUUCUUAAUCUUAAUCUUUUUCAUAAAUCUUUUUUUUUUCCAAUUUAAAUAUGUACUAAUAUCGAAAAGUAGUAGAUCUUUUAAAACAACUUCCGAAAAUAUAGUUAGUACACCUUGAUUUUAUUAGUUAAGAUAAUAAUAAAAUAAAUUUAUUUGUCAGAGUUGAACUAAUAAGUUAUAUAUCUAAAUUUUCAAACUAAAUUUUAUUUAAAUGAAAAAGUUUCGUUUUACAGAUGAUUCAAUAAGCUAUAUAACUUAUUAGAUGAAAAGACAAAAUCAUCCACCUAUAAUUAUAAAAUAAUAUAUAAUAUAAUAUUUCUUAAUCAGUCAGGCAAUUGCUUUUGAUAUCGAAUUUUAAUUAUUCAAUUUAAUAAGUUGUUAAUUCAAAUUCAGUCUACAUAAAUUACUUCUAAAUCAACAUUAGGGUACCAUAUUUAAGAACCUCAGAUUAAUGGACAUGAGCUUUUGUCUGUAGUAUUUAAAAUAAUUAAAAUGUUUGAAUUUUGUUGUCUAUGUGGAUGAAUAGUCGGAGCUAUCAAUUAAAUAUUGAUGCAGAGAAAUGCUAUUUUGUUUUAUUAUAACGAAACAUAACAAUAACAACUUGUAUUUUAAAAAAUUAACUCCUUAGUCUUCGUGUUUUGGAUUAUCGGAGUUAUUAUACAGUGAAACUGUGAUUCUAUUUACCUAAAAUAUUUAAUAUUAAUCAGAGAACUAAAUAGUAAUUCACCCUUAAUUUAAUUAUAACCUUCACUUUGAUGGUGUUAGAUAAACAUAUAGAAAAAUAUUUAUUUUAUGAAAUUUUAGUUAUAUUGACUAUUGUGAUUUGUACUUAUUUUAAUAAUUACCACAUAUACCAAGUGAAUUGGACUUAAAUUUUCAAAUCAUUAAUUGAAAAUUGAUAUAGUUUGUUAAUCAUCAUUAUGAUCUUUGUACAAUUUCAUAAUUACUUACAGUGCAAAAAUGGUACCUUCUUUGAUUAUAAUGCUCAACAAAUGAAAAAGCAGGUUGAUUGUAAGAUAAGAAAAGAGAAAUGUUGAGGAUAAAAAAAUUGUUUUAUAUCUAUUUACGAGCUGUGGCUCGGUUGAUAAUGCAGACUAGACAUAUGAAAAGAGCUCUCGAAUUCAACCCUCACUGAAAAAAUUGUUUUAUAUCUAAUUAUUAAUUAACAACUAUCACACCUGACAUUACAACCUAUAAUGAAGCAAAAAAGUACCUUGCAUUGCACAUAUCCUAGUUGUUUCCCACACUCUCUUUUCUCAUAUGUCCUUGGAGCCAUAUUUUUUUUUUUUUGUUAUUUUUAUCCUUUUUUGUUCAAUUAUUUUUCAAUAUAUAAUGAGAUAAUUUACCCUAUUUCUUUAGGUUUUAUUUUCUAUCAAAAAUUACUUGAUAAUUUUGAAGUGAAGUCAAUGAGCUAUUAUAGGUCCAAUUAAUUUAUAUUGGCAAUUUUAAAUUUUAUAGUUGAUUUAUUUUAUAAAUGUUGUAUGAAUAAAAAAGAAGAUAAUUAUUUUAAAGAAAAUAUGUAGAUCAAAAUCAUUUCAUAUUCUCAUAGUACACAUCAAAAUUUAUAUUCAUAAUGAUAAAACAAGUUGAAAUUUUGUUGUGAAGACACAUAUAUAAUCAAUUACUUAUGAAUGUUAACAACCCAUUUUGUCUUGGCAGGUGGCCUACCCAACUGGCUAAGGUACUAUAAUAUCAAAACUUCACCCACAUUUUGAUUUUAGAUAAAUUUAUAAACUUUAAAAUUUUUCAAAAUGAACUAUGGUGGAGAAAAUUAAGAAUGUCAUUGUUAAUGUCAAGAGAAAAUUUUUAUGCUACAAUUAUUUUUAUAAUUUAAGUUCAUAAUUAUUAUUCACUUAUCAAAUGCCUUCACAAUCAAUUAUAACAAGUCCUGUACCCGCGCAAUGCGCGAACUGUAUAAUUUAUAUUUGUGUUGUUUUAAUUUAAAUAAUUUGCUUAUUUAUUUUUCAAACUUUUUUUAGUUAUCUCCAUUUUAUAUGGGUUUGUGAUUUCUACAUUUUCAUGUGCCUAUAAUUGUUUCUUGUUUUGGGUAUAUUGUUUUUAUUUGGACGGAUGUGAAAUUUGCAAAAAAUUUAUUAAAUGGAUGAUAAUUUUCAUUUUUUGAAGUUUGACUGUGCAACUUAUUCUUCGAUUGGAUUUAGUUGUUUAAAUUUUUUGUAUUCAUCAAAAGCAAUUAGUUAACAUAUAAUUAGGUUAUAUACAAAAGAUUUAGAGAGUUUGUUUAAUUAGUUACUUUGAAGGUCCAUCGAUUUUUUCAAGUCACCUUUCAUUCAAGUCAAGCGUUUCUUUAACUGGAAAUGCUGUAAUGAAAUUUGACGUUGAUAGACAAAAAAAAAAAAAAAAAAAAAAAGAGUAUAGCCAAGUUAAUAAAUUAAAAUUACAAAGCAAACAAUGAUAGGAUCUAAUUUUGUUUCUCUAUUUUUUUAAGUUACAAAUUUAAAAGAAAUAAGUUAAUUAAUUAAUAAAAAGGAUUACAUAAAAAAAACGUUUUAUCAUCGCCAAAUAAACCAUUAAUUUUUCCAACAACUAUACAGAAAAGGAAGAGUAUAUUUUUUCUUUUCUUUUUUAUUAUCUAUAUGUAUUUAUUUAAAAAUAAUUUUUAAAAUUAUAUCCAAUUAAAUAAUAAAAUGCAAUUUUUCUUCUUCUUCUUUUUUUUUUUUUUUUGGUCUUAAACACGUGCAUUCCGACUCCACUGGGCUAGAACUAAAUCCUGCUCGCACUGAGUUGGUCUAAGAAGGGAUAAAAUGCUAUGAGCGAGUAUUUAUUUUAUCCAUGAGGAUCGAACCCUCAAUCUCACUUAAGGGAGGAUAAUGCGGAAUCACUCAUCGAAAUACUAAUUGGUAUAAAAUGUAAUUUUCGAAUUGACUGCGACUAAAGUUAUUUUAGGAUAUUCUAAAUUUCAUUAAGGACGAUAUCAGAAAUUCCAUUAUUCCCCUCAUUUUUACAUUUAAAUAUAGUAUAGAUAGAUUAAUUUCCAUCCUUAUUUUAGUUGCUUUUAUUGGCAUUUGGAAUUUACAAUAGCACAUGGUCUUUAAUUCCUUCUCCUUCCUUGUGGAUUGGAGAAAAUUGCUUCUCUUCAAAAUGAUGAGUUUUUUUACAUGAUACUUUCAAUUCUCUAAUACUUUAGUCUUAUCAAUGAUUAGCACACAAAUUUAUCAUUUUUUUUUUUGUUAUUUAACUUCUAACGUUAAAAACUAUUUUUGAUAGAUUAUAUUUUUUAUCAUAAUUAUUAUUAUUUUUUGUUUGGGAUUAAAUUCUUUGAAAUUAAUAAUAUUGAAACACUUGUAUUAUCUAGAAAAGGAGAAUGUUAAAUUUUGAAUUUUUGUAUUUGUUUUAUUUAAAAUCAUAAAUAUAUACUUCUUUAUAUACAUAGAGCUUUUGGAUGCCUUUUAGAGGCUAACUAUUACAUUAUUCAAACUAAUGUAUUUCAAAUUUUUUUCUUUUUUGAAGUUGUAAUUUAGGGAGUUUAACAAAUUAAUUUUGAAUAUUAAACAUUGUAUUCAUCCUAUUGCAGUAUUUAACAAAUUAAUUAAUUUUAUAAUAGAUAGGAUGGAUUUUUAAUUGUAUCUUAUGCUAAAUUCUUAAAAAAGUACUUCGUAAUAUAAUGAGAGAUGAACUAUUGAAUGAUUAUUUAGUGACUUAAUUAUAUUGAAAGAGGCGUAUUUAUAAAUAUUGAUAAUGAAAUUAUUAUAAACAGAUUUGAGCUAAUGUUCCCAGUAGAGUAGAAGAUGUAAUGGAUGAGAUUUAUAGAAAUUUAAUUAUAACAGUUUAUUGCUUUUUAUAAGAAAUUCCCAUUAUUUAUAUCUAUUUUAUAUAUAUCAUUUUUGUAAACUAUAUAUUUUAAGUGAAUCUCCUCGUUGAAUCCUGACUACGUCUUUGGAUUCACAUAGUUAAAUCAAAUAAACCCUUAAACUUAGAUCUAAAUAAAAAUAAUGUGCAUCACUAAAUUAUAUUUGUGUACCAAAAAUAUUUUAUGUUCCAUUCUAUUUGUUUGUUAUUCCUUUUUUGGAUGUUCCAAAGUAUUUGCAAGAUUUCUAAAUAAUUAUUUUUUUUUUCAUAAUAACUUUUAUAAUUAUUCAUUAAAUGAAAGAGUUUUAUUAAUAUCUUAAUAAGUUAAGGAUAAAAAAAGAGCAAAAUAAUAUUUAUUAAUUAGAAUUCUUAAUAUGUUUGUUUUGUCAAACCAUGAAAACAAAAUGGGACGGGUGAUUUUUUUUCGAAAGCUUAUUUGAGACCUUGAUAUAUUUACUUUUCUAUCUUAUAAUGGAAGUCAAUGAAUCAGAAUCUUCUUUUUAUCAAUAACAUCCUUUGAAUAUUUUACAUUAAUUUCAAUGGAAAAAUUGAAAAAAUUUAUUUCAACCAAAAAACUAUUUUGUAAUCUUAAGUAAUAUUUACAGAAAGAUUUCCUUUUUUCAUUAAUUAGGUUAAUUUUUUUACCAAGUUUUCAGGUUACUGGGUCCUCCUGGUAACUUUGAUGCAUUAGCUUUUUCCUUUGUGAAUGUGAUGAUAUAAAGUGAGUGAAGACAACAUCAUUCUCUUUAAGAAAAAAAGGAUCACUCCAAACACUCAUAUGUAUAUAUAUUCAUCCUCCAGCUUUUCAUGGCCCAGUAUAGUCAGCUCCUCCUGCCACUUUGACCAUUUUAAUUGAUUUGAUCUUCAUUACACUUCAACUUGAUGGCUUCAUAUUUCAUAGUAUACUCGUAGAUUAAAUUUUAAUUUAUACAUGAAAAUAUUUUCUCAUUAUAACCUAAUGUAUUUUUGGUUUCAUUAUUGAGCUAGAACGGUCGGUUUAAUUUUAUGUCUCUUAAGAAAAUUAUUAAAUUUGUCUAAAUUACAAUAAAUUAUUGAGUAAAUUCACUAUGUUACCCUUAAUUUUACUAAUUCUCUAAGACAACCAUUAAAUUGAAUAAUAAUUAUUGGUCAUGUAUAAAUGAAAAAUAUGAAAAAAAAUAUUUAUUAUUUCUGAAAACCAUAAAUGUGACAAGUAUUUUGAAAUAAAUUAUUUUAUUAAAUGUAAUAAGUAUUAUGAAACAGUACAUGUAAUUUUCAAAUUUUAAUGGGCAUUAAAUAUUAAUAAGACCAUUUUGUAGAUAAAGAUAAGAUCUCGUAUACUUAAUUUCAAUAACUUUUUUAGGUUACAUUUAGUUGACCCAAAUGAGUCCUCAAGUUUAUAAAUAAAACAAAAUUUAAUUAACACAAAACAACAAAUACCAAAGAUUUAAAUUCAUGAAGAAAUAUCAUGUGAAUUGAAAGGUCUUUUUGGUGUAUUAUUGAAAUUAUUGUCAAGCAAUUACUACCUUCAAGAGUUAAAUAAGAAUAUUAAAUUUUUUUGUUAAAUAAAAAAAAAAGGGAAGUUGCUCUAUUAUAUUUUUUAUUAGUAUUUCAGUGUGAAAAGAAAAGAAAAGAAAAGAAAAGAAACUUAACCUUGUUGCAGAAGUUACUACUUACAAAAUAAAGUCAAAACAUUCAGUAGUAAUAACUCUGUCUCUGUUUCUGUCUCUCUCAUACUCUCUCCUGUUGUAAAUAUAUGCAGCACCAGAACCAAGUAUCACCCAAAGCUCCAACAGAAAACACCAUCAUCACCACCAUUAGUAGUCUCUCAUUUUCUAGUUCCCCAAACAAGACAUAUAUACGGGCUCUGAAAUAAUCUAACUACCCAAACAACCUCUGCACCAUAUUUAUUUCUCUUCUGGCACCAAACCCUAUGCAUGUUGACUCUCUCCUUCUUCUCUCUUUUUAACUUCCUCCAUUAACUCCACAUUUUUCUUUUUUUUAUUUUAAGGAAAAGAAAAACAAAAGCUACAAAUCUCUCCUUUUCACCUUUCUAGUACUUUUCUUGAGUUUGCUAUAGCUGCUUUUUAAAUUCAAAUCAAAGAAAAGAAAAUUCUCAUUUCUUUUCUUGUUUCUCUUUAGGGUUUUAGGGCCAAGAUUUUAUAUACUACUAGUAUCUACAACUACAUACAUAUAUAUAUAUAUGUAAAAAUGCUCUUUGGUGGGUUUUAGAGAGUGAAGCUGCAAAUGGGUUCAAGAAAAAGACUUAUUAUCACUUUCUUCUUUGCUUUCUUACUUUUGGUAGUCUUACUUUUCAGAACUUCAUCUUUUCCAAAUGGGUCUUCAAGAUUUGGAAGCUUCAAAAGUGGGUCUAUUGAAUCUCAUGUUGCCCAUGGAAAUCGAGGAGCUAGUAAAGAAGAUGGUGAUGAUCCACUUUUGGGUGAUGAAAAGAGGAAAAUCCAUACAGGUCCAAAUCCUUUGCACAAUAGAUAAUUAGAAGAGACAAAUUAAUUUUGCUUUGUGUUUAAUUUAAUUAGCUGUUCUUCUUCUUCAGUUUUUUUUACAUGAAACUAGCUAUGAAAAGUGUUAAUUAUUACAUGUAUAUUUUAUGUUGAAAUUAUUAUAUUGUUAGAUCUUUUUUUUUGUUUGUUUGUGAUGACAAUAUUAUUGUAUUGUUUAUAUAUUUAAGGAUGUAUUUUGUUUUUUUAGUUUUCAAUUUUCUGUGAGAAAAAAUAAAUAUUAGAAUGUACAGAAAAA
RNAcentral lists this long non-coding RNA (76000 nucleotides) under Jatropha curcas. RNAcentral's name for it is "long non-coding RNA (JCUR_LNC000622)". Lineage: Eukaryota; Viridiplantae; Streptophyta; Magnoliopsida; Malpighiales; Euphorbiaceae. The record is from RNAcentral.